RNAcentral lists this long non-coding RNA (44788 nucleotides) under Cucumis sativus (cucumber). RNAcentral describes it as "long non-coding RNA (CSAT_LNC001806)". The record is from RNAcentral. Lineage: Eukaryota; Viridiplantae; Streptophyta; Magnoliopsida; Cucurbitales; Cucurbitaceae.
AAAAAAAAAAGAGUCGAUCACCUUACGUUCACAUGUCACCAAUCACCAACUCAUGUUUUGGAAAAUAUAUAUACUUAUAAAACAAUUGUAAAAUAACAGUACUACCUAAUGGUGCUUGCCACAUAAACUUCCAUGAUUAAUUUAGUUUUCAACAUAAGGUUCCAAACAAGUCCUUAAGAUUAAUUACUUAACUUUGUCCUUUUAGGAAAUAUUGCAGACUUACCUUUAUCCUUUUAGAAUUAGGACGCUUUCAAAAGGGUUGGAGAUUAGGCCACACAUGCUUCGGAGGUCAAAGACGAGAACAACCGGAGCCAAGCCAAGCUAACUAGUUCAUUUAUCUUGUCUUCUUUGACAUCCAUUCAAAGGAAAGGGCAAGUUAUCCUCCAUCUUCGCCUUUGAGACAUAGGCACGCAAUUUGGUCGAGUGGCUCAAGUAGUUUGUCCUUCCUUCUUUUGCAUCUUAGAUGCAAAAUAAGAAGCGACUUCAUGUCUUACCACUAAAACUUAGCGAGCGAACUAGGUCAUGAUCUAAUUGCUUCUCGACCUACCUUUUUACUAACAUCUCUCCUUAAACUUAUUUCCUUUCCUUCUCAUAUCCGUUUGAGAUGAGGUAAAUUUUUCCAUUUUACCUUCAAAGAUCUAAAAUUUGAAGUAUGUAAUUAAAUUUGUAAUUAUUUGUUGAGAAAAUAAUUGAAAUUAAAACAGUUUUUGGAGAGUAUCAAAAGAUAUAUGGUAAAAUAAAUAAGAGUCAAAGUAGGAGAUACGAGAGAUAAGUGGGAAAUACUUUAUGUGGCUUUUAUAGGUGGUUUAGUUUAAUGUUUGUGGAAUGUGUCCCAUCAAAGGAAGAUAGCAAGAAUCUUGCAUCGAAUUAUGAAGAGUCAUUGCAAAAUGAAAAGGGAUCUCGUAAUCAGUAGUUGAAUUGUUUGGUUACUUGAUGAUACCCAAAGACGAUGUGCAAUUUUUUCCAAUACUCCAAACUUAGAGUCCAACUCCGUGUUAAGGAAUGUACCUCAUGUUGAUUCCAUUCUUUUUUCUUUUUUCUUUUUUUUUUCGGUUAAAUUAUAUAUUUAGUCUACGAUCAUUCAUGUUUACAAUAAACAUGUUUCUAAACAUUUAAAAACUAUUUAUUUUACAUUUAAUAAAUCUCUAGACUUUAAAAAUUUGACAAAAUUAAGUCUUUAAUUAACCGGCCUUUCUUUCUUUCCUUAAUAGAACAAUUGUUCAAAAGAACGACAUGAUAAACUGAAAAACUGAGUCAAACGACAGUCAAGGUACAAAAAUCAACUGAAUCGUUGGUUAGAGAAGAAGAGGAGUUUAGUUGAUGCAGUGACAAUUUGAUUGAGAAACUGAUUGUUACCCUAUAUAAUAAAGAAAAAAAGAUAAUAAUGCAUCAUUCAAGUAAUAGGAAAAUACAUCAUUUAACCCUUUUAUAUAACAUUAGUGUCUAUUCUCCACACAAUAAUUUUUUAAUUAAAAUUGAAUUAUGUACCUUUUCUAUUAUGCUUAUUUGAUAGUAUAGAGUUCAUCUCAUCUAUCUUAUAAAGACUGAGAUUCUUCUUGAUUUUUUUUCACGAUAGGAUUUUCAACAUCUCAAGCUCAAGACAACACUAAUUUCAAGUUUAUAACUAUUUUCUUAGCUAAUAUUCUUAUUCAAUCAAUAAAGAUUCUAUUUCCAUGAACUUUCAAAAUUUUGAUUAAUAUUGGUAAAGCAAAAUCAAAUACUAUUUUUAAAAAAUGGAGUUGUAAUUAAUUAUGAAGAUGGAAAAAUGGAAUAAUUUAUAAUAAAAGGGAAUUAGAAAAUGUGUGUUGGUUCACAUUUUAUAAUUUAAAAAUUGCAAACAAAGAGAGAAUUAGAGAGGGUUAGGGUUUAGGGUUUGUCAUAAAACAUUUAAAAAUGGUAUAUAUAUAUAUUAUAUAUAAUAUGAUGAGAUGGAAGAGAUUUGGAGGUGUGUGGGGGCAGUUGAUCUGAUCUAAUACCAAAACAAAAAUAAACUUUUGUAAUGGUGGCACACCUAGCUAUAUAGUUUAGUUUCUCACAACUCAACUGCUUUUGAAAUUUUCUCUCUUUUAUAUUUAUUUAUUUAGGGUGUGGUGUUGUGGAGACCUUAUCUUUUUAAUUUCUUUUUAGUUAUUUACAUUUAUUAUCAGUACACAACAUUGACUCUUAUCUUAUACAUCCAAUCACCCUACACAAAAAGUUAUUAAUACCUUUAUUUCAUUCGAUCUGCAUCACUCAUCUAGUUCAUUAUAUGAUGAUAAACUAUAGCGUACGUUUGUCGUGAUUGUUUUUAGUACAACAAUCAUAAAAUAAGAGAUUUCAUAAUAAUAUUACUAACUUAAGUUUGCUUUUCGUUGGAAUAUUUGUUUCUAUAUAUUAUUAAUAUAUAUCACAUUAGUUUUUUUCUUCAAAGAAUACUGUUUUUUAAAGCAGGUAAAGCGGAGACGAUUGAAGUUUGAUCUUAUAAAAAAUUUAUAUCAAAUAAGCUAUGUUCAUAUUGACAACGAACUAAUUAUGUUAAUGUUAAUUUUCAUUAAUAUAUUGUAAUUAAUUAAGUUAUAUUUACGUAACUUUUACUUAUGUUUUUUCUUCUUUUUUUAAAGAAAAAUAGUUGAAUUCUUAAUCAAAUUUUAAAAAUAAUAAAUAUUUUUAAUCAACUUGAUUAAUAUUUGAAGUAUACAGAUUAGAUUUUAAAAAUUGAAAAUACAACUACUAAAACAUAUAUUUUUUUUUUAUGAAAGACAUAUUAUAUAUUUUACAACAAAAUAAAGAUGAAACCCGAGAACUCGAAAUAAAGGCACAAAACCAAACACAUAACAAAGAUGCAAGAGGAGCACUCCUCAAUCUCAAAACACCACACAUAGCCUAAGCUAAGAGGAAGAGAAAACAACCAUAGCAAAGCAAGAUGAUCUCUAGAAGUAAUAAUUUAGUCUUCUAAUUUUAAUUUUGUAACAAUUUAGUUAUUAAAAGUGUGCGACUAUUUAAUUUGUACGCGAGUAUGAAAAUUUAAUAAGAUAGUUUAUGGCAUAAACAAAUGAAUAAAUAAAAUACAAAGUGUAAAUCAUAAAAUACUAAAAAUUGAUAUAAAAUUAGAGAGUUUAUAAAAGUUAUGAAGACGAAAGGUGUAUUUAUUUGGAAAGGAAAAAGAAAGAAAGGAAGGAAGAAAAAAAAGAAAAAAGGAAAAAGGAAAAAGGAAGUCAUUAAAAAUAAUAAUUAGGUAUUUGAAAAAAAAGAAAAGUUGUACGGUGGUGAUGGUUACUCACAUUCCGGGCUUCGCCGGUUGGCUUCAACGACUAUAUAACGAAGCUUCCUUUCUUUUGUUUGUUUGUGAUUUUCCGUACUCUUUUUAUUUUUUAUUUGGUUUUAUUUCCACACGCUACCCCUCUCCUUUUCUUUUCUUUUAUUUUCUUUUCUUUUUCUCAAAACAAAAACAAAUUUAAUUUUUGUUUAUAAGAGGCAAGAGGGACGUUUGGCAUGAGGUCAUAAUUAAUUCACAACAUUAUUUUCCACAUGCAUUAUUAAUUAUUAGAAAAUGACCCCUUAGAUCUCGAUAAAUAUUAUACUUUUAUGUAGUACAUCUCUAUUGUACCUUCUUCUCUCUACUUACAAACUUUUAUUACCAUUUCAUUUUGCCUUCUUAAUAACAUAUAUCCCUCACUUCUACCCACUUAGUGUUUCAUUAUAUAUUUUGUUUACAUCAUCACUGCUACACAUCCUAUCUAUUCUCUCUUUUAACUCUCACCUCCUUCCAAAUUAAUAAGUACUAGUUGGUAUUUUAUAUAUCACAAUUCAUGCUAAGCUUAGAAUGACAUGAAUGACCUAAAACUGAAAUUAAUGGACUUACAAGUGGAAGAAAUAAUAAUGAAAUCGAUACUUUAAUCAAUUAUGACAGUUUUUUUAUUUGAGAAAAAUAUGAACCCCUAAAUAAAGAAAGUGCACAUGCAUGUGUGGAUUUAAUGUUUGUCACUGGCAAUAUCUUCAAUGCUGAAGUUAGAUCAAAGCAUAGCAAAAGGUUUAAGAGCUGAAAGAGAAGUUAUGGACUUCACUCUAACUAUAAUAGCAUAUUUAAAUUUGGGUUUAGGUCUUUAAUUUUUCCCUUGCCUUUUACAUAAGGUUACUUUGUAUUAGAGGUUAAACCAAGUUAACCCUAGCUUUCAUGAUGUUCAGUCCAUACUCCCUCAAACAAAAGGCUCACCUUCACUUCAACUUCCGUUGACCAAUCAUGCUCGCUUGAGCCCUUUUAAGCUUCUUAAGAUGUGUUAGAUCAAUACGUGCAUCUGACAUGGACACUCGCUUAGCAUACUCAUUAUCCUUGCUUCAUUGAUAAAAUAGAGAGAAUUAGUACAAAUGAAGCAGAGAGCGCUAGAGUUAAACUCCAAAUACAAUCAAUUAAAGGAAUUUAGAUUUAUAGCAAUGGUGCUAACAUGGUAGUUUUAUCUCCUCCAAAACUAAUUUAGGCUUCAAGCUAGUUUUUGAGAAUUUGGUGUGACUCAAGCUUUGGUUAGAUUAUAUUACUUGUAAAUCUAGACUAUCUUAAUCUUAAUCUUAAUCUCCUUAUUACUUAUUGUUACAUUUUUACUUAAUAAAUAUUCUAUAUCAAAAGAAAAGAUUUUAAACGAUUAGCCUAAACAUAUAUAGUGUUCUAGUCAUGGCAUUUUGAUUAGCAUCCCAACUAGAGAGGCACAAUAUAUCUUUAUUUGUAAUAAUAUAAGUAAUUAGUUUUAUGGUGUGAAAAGGUUAUCUUCGAUAACAACAUAGAUUUAGAUGUCCAUUCCCUAUUGGUUCAUUAUCACAUACCAAACAAACGUCUUGAAAGAAAACUUUGAAGGUAACAACCACGUGAUCAAUUUUAAUAAUUAACUACAAUAUUAAUUAAUAUAUGGUUGAUCAUAGACUACUUUUGUAUUAAUCAGUACACAACCAUAUUUUUUUUUUUUUUAAAAAAAAGCACAUCUACACAACUAUAUAAACAAAACUUAUCAUAUAUACCCCUAGUUUAAUUGAGUAGUUGGAAUUGAUAUUUAUUUAUUUCCAACUUUUGGGUAUAUUUUUUCACUUGUUUUUAGUGUCUCAACACAAUACCUACAAUAUAAUUUUUUUUUUGAAUUAUUAGUAUAUUUUUUCACUUUUUUUUUUUGGUAUAUAUAUAAUUUAGAAAAUGGCAAAAGAUGUUAUUAAAUUGAAAGUGGUGAGCAGAAAGAGAAGGAAAAAGGUUAAAGAAGGGCAAAAAAUAGAAAAAGAAGAAAGAAAAAAUAGAAAAAGAAGAAAGAAAAAAUAGAAAAGGUAGUUUUGAUAAUGAUAAGCAUUAAUGAACGAUUUAAGAAGAAAUUUGGAAUUCCUUAACUAGCGAGUCUUAAUUGCUACACUUCUUUGGUAGACUAUAUGACUUUUUUAUAAGAUAAAUACGAGCUUAUCCAUCAAACACAUAUAUUAACAUUUGUAGUACUUCAUAACUACAAGCUUAAACUUUUCUUUUUUCUUUUUAAAGAAAAUUAAAAGAUUUUAAUAAAAUUUCUUUUUAUAAUAUUAUGGUUUUAUUCUGGAGAAAAUAUAAUUUUACCUCCCUAAGUUUCUACUUUAAUUUCAAUUUAAAUUGUUUCUGUUGUGUGAUUCAAAAUGUUUUUGUUAUCACCGAUCACUUUUAAGUAAGCUUAGAGAUUAUAAUUUAUAAUAUAUGUAUAUUGCACAUUUAAAACAGUAUCAAUGCAUUUUAGUGAAAUAGGAAUUAAUUAAAUUAGAUUAGAUUGUGGUAUGUAAAGAAAGAAAAGUGUGAAAAGAAUAAUAAAAUUAUUGUUGCCGAAAAAACAGAAGAAGAUAAAAUAAAAGAACGAGAAAUUUUAUAAAUUAUAAUCUCUAGAAAAUUGAUGAUUGAAAAGUAAUAGUUAGGGUUGGUUUAGUAUAAUUUUGUGUUUGCAAUGUUGGAAUGGUACUGUGUGCUUAUGUGUCUGUGUUCAACACGUAAUUAUGAGUUUGAUACGUUAAAAUUUGGACAAAGAUAUAUAUAUAUCUGACAAUAAUUAAUGAUAGGUUUGUAAUCAAAGAAAGAAUAAUGUAAUUUACAAGAUGAAAAGAUAAUUUACACAUCGAUUUGGUGCUUGCAACAUAAGUUCCAUAAUACGUAAGUAGAAAAUUUUAAUGUAUAGUAAGUAGAGAGUAGUGAUCGGUUGAUGAUAUACCACUGAUAUCCUGACUUUGGGGUAUCCUUAUCUAAUCAGUUUCCUAUUUAUGUUAGGUUAUGCCUUGUUUUUCAAAUUUUGUGGCUCGAUGACCUUGAUCAAGUAUUAGGUUGAUUUGUGGUUUUAACUAAACUAUUUUUUUCUCAAUGUGCGAAUAGGUCAUAGUACAAACCGUUCGUAAGAGAAGUAGAGUUCAAUUCAACGUCAUACUCAAUCGAGGAGGUUGGUUUGGACUUUUAACCUAAACCAUCGCCUUUUAGAACUCGAAAUAGGUUAUAAUGCAUCUCAUUCACCAAAUGAAAAAAAAAAGUCGGACAUUGACCUCAUUCUCAGGCUUCUUUGGCUCUAACCUCAUUUUACUCUCUUCACAUAGUUGUAUGUUAAAUUAUUAUAAUUAUCAAUUAAUUAGCAUUUGGUUUUACAUUUUUAAAUGUAAUUUUAAUUCUUGUUUGUUGAGUAGGUAAUUAUUGAAUAAUUAAAAAGCAUACGAAGCUUCUGAUGGGACUGUCAGACACAAGCUUGACACUUUAUAGCCUAAUUUCUUUCUAAAACUAGAGUCCCUUUUUCACACAUAUUCUAUUACCAACACAUUUCUAUAUACAUCCAAUUUUAUUCUCACUUUAUUGUUAAAAUAAUAAUCAUAAGAAAAUCAAAAACACUAAUCUUUUGCUACACAUUUGUGUUACUAAAACGUGAAAGUUUUUGAAAUGUUGAAUAUAAAAGAACCAUUUUAAUUAGAUCAUCGUGUGAUGGAGUAAAGGGAAAUUGGUGUUAGAUAGAGGAUUUUAGCAUUUGAUAUUGAAAAAGUAGCAAAAUAAAGAGAAUCAUAAUUAUCGAAAAACAUGCUUUCUUCAUUUACUGAGAGUAUUUGACAUUGUUCAUCACAGAAUGUCUCUAACUCUUUUUGGGUAUAAUCAAUUCUUCUUUUUCAACUUAAAUCACAAUCACUUUGAGUUAUCCUAUAUGUAUAUAUAUAAUUUUUGAAUAUCAUCUGUUGUGUGAAGUGGAUUUCCCUUUGUUUGGAAGCUGUAGAGUGAUUUCAGAUAUGGGCUUGAGCCCAAUUUAAAUACCUCUUAUUGGGCUGCUUUUGGCGCCCACGCGUGUUUCUUUACUAUGGCCCCAUAGGACCCAUGGACUUUUAAUUGAAGUUUCAUUGUAAGUAGCAAAAAGUUUUACUUUUUUAUUUCUAAUUUAUGGAUGGAAAAGUGAGGUGGAAAAAAGAAGUUAAAAACUGAAAUAUACUUAGAGAGGGUAAAAAAAAAUUAGAUAAUGAAAUAUGGUAAAGAAAGAUGUGACAGUCGAUUAGGAGAUAGAGGAUGGCGGGACAAUUAAAAGGUAAACUCUAAUCUUAUUUUAAAAUGAUUGGUUUGAGUAAUAAACUGGAAUCGAAUUGAAUUAAUCAGUUUGGUCUAAUUUAAUAACAAAAUUGAUCCAACUUGAACUGAACCCUCUCGAUUUAGUUCAUCUUCUUAUAAACGUAGAAAAAAAAAUCUUAAAUUAAGGAAUAGAGAAAAUUGAGAUUGUAGGAUUGGAAAGAGGAAUCUGACGACACGCAUGGUUCACAUAGUUCUUAUAUGUUUUUUAUAACUUAAAUUCUAUCUAGUCGUUUUUUUUUUAUAAACGUGGGGCAGAGGCUUAUUUAGUGAUGGUCAGGUUCCUUCCCUUUCAAAGCGGCCAAGAUGUAGGGAAGUUACUCCUUUACUUGAAGGGAAGUUGUUUGCUAUAUUGUUGAAAAAGGUUCGUCUAGCUAAGGGCUUAGUUCUGCUUUCAUGGGUCUAGUCUUGUGGGCAAUUAUGUGGUGUCCAAAAUAUCAAUAGUGUCACCUAAAGUCACUAUAUAUUUUUCUCUUCAUGUUAAUCUCUCAGUAUGAUGUUUCCCUUUCAACAAUCCAUUGUUACUCUGUAAUGAAUCUUCUUGGUGAACCUCCGAGAUUCCUUUGACUUGCUAAAGAACUUAAGAUAGCAUCUUUCUUGUUUUCUUCUUGCUCAAGAUGUAAUUUGGAUUUGUCCUUUGUUUUGCUUCGUUGCAAGCUUUAGCUCUCGUACGUUUCCUUUGUAUCUCGACUUUAAAGUAAACGGUCUCCUUUUUGCAAUAUAUUGUGUAUCAUAUAUUAUAUGACCUUUGCAAAAAAAAGAAAAAAAAAACAAUAAAAACAUUUUUUUUCUGAAGUUUACAAGAGUGUUUGAAGUAUAACUAUUUUAAACUUAGCCACAAACUUUCUUAAGCGGAUUUAAUCUGAGCUUUCAAUUAGGGUUUCCUAUAAAAAGCAUCCAUUUUGUUGAUACGAUGUUUGAAAAAGUUUACACUCAGUGUAAACAACAUUGAUACGAUCACUACUAUAAAGAUAAUCUUAAAAAGUAUAGAUCGAUAAAAAUUGAAAAUGUAAGUUAAUAUAAAUAUAUUAGUUAAAAGAUUUUAAUUCAUACAAAUGUGAAUAUGAAAGGAGUAUUUCCCCUUGAAGAAUUGAUUUUGUGAUUUAUUAAUGGUUUCCCUGUUCAAAAGUCCACUGAAAAGGGGAGACUCAAAGGAGAAAAAAAGUUGGAUUAGGAGCAAAAGAAAAAAAAAAAAGAUGAUUGUGUACUUUCCUAGAAAAGCUAUCUUUUUAAUUUCUUUAUUGAGAGAUGUGUCACUUCUACCAAUAAUUUAAUUUUAAUUCAUUACUUUAAUAACAAUAAGAGUGAUUCAUUUUUUUUUUUUUUUUUAUCCAUUACAAUAUUCUUAUAUGCAUUAAAAUAAUUCUCUCUCUCUCUCCAUUUUUCUAAAACUAAAUAUUACAAUAGAAAUUAGAUAGUAAAUUUCCAACAAAAUAAGGUCUGGUUCGUAUCAUACCUCGUUUGACCUAAAAAUUGCAUCAUUGAUCUUGAGAUUAAAAGUUAUGUUCACUCAUCUUACACGUCUUUUUUUUUUUUUUUUUUUUUAAAAAAAGAAAACUAACUUUAGUAUGUUUGAUUUGUAAUUCGAUUAGGGAAUGCUUUCAAAAGAUUCAACUUUGUGUCACGAGAUGCAGUUAUAUAUUGCCAAAAUCUUGAGAUGAAAUAUAGAUUUGGCGUUCACGUGACACGAAUAGUAAAUUUGUUUGAAAGAGGAAAAGAUUAUGAUGUACAAAAGAGAAACCCUAGUACAUAUGCCAAAGAGUGAAGCUAGAGAGUUUGAGAGCGAAAUUACCUGUUAAGAAGCUACAAUGAUGUAUUUAUAGAGAAAGUUGACGUAGGUUAUUGCCUAGAGACAACCUACUAAGCCAAAGGGUAUGCUCGUACCAAGGCCCAAGUCAACGCUUCUUUUUGUAGGGCCACAUUGGUUCUAAGACGAUACCAUUUUCGACUCGUAUCAUGCCUUUUUCUUGAUUUUAUUAUUACUAUGUAUGCUAUCUAGAUGUCAAUUAUACCCUUCCAUUUAAAUGAUUCAUAGAGCAAAAUUGUGAUAAUGAAAUAUUGUAAAUUUGUUUAUUCCAAUGAAUGAAUUGUUUUCAUUGUUUCCUUAUAAAACCAAUGUACAUUCAAUUUGGUCCAAAUUGACUUUUGACUCUAUGCUUUAAAGUAAUAAUCUUUUAUAAAAAGCACAAAGAAUGAAGAACUAAAAAGUAAUAAGAAACCAAAAAAUGGCAUUUUUUUUUUCUCUCUCUCUCACAUUAGAAUUGAGAAAUGAGAUAUAGAAUCAAUCUCUAAACAUAUAAUAAAGUAAAAAUGAAAACAAGCUUCAAAUAAUGAUUGAGUUGUGUUUAGCUUUAGUUUGACAUUUCCUACACAUUCUUAUCAUAAGGAGUGUUUUUUAAUGCACCAAAUCCCAAGUGAUCAUUACAAGUCUAAUUAUAAAUCACUUUGAAAAAUAAUUGUUGGAUUAUGAAUUUUAAAACUAUGUGUGGUUAGUAUUAGUUGUUCAAUCAUUUUAGCACAAUUAUUGGACCUCAAUUGUGUGGAUAUAUAUAUAAUCACUUUAAUUCUUAAACUUUUAUACCAAAUGUAUUACAAACAAUUUAGUUAAUAAAUUUUGAUUUGUACCAUUUUAAUCGUUGUAUUUAUAUAUUUAAGUAGUAAUUGAUUUGAUCCCUAUUCAAUUAAUAGGCGUCAAGAGUGAUGAUCCAGUCCUGAUGCAUAAGUGAAAGUGUCGGACAUUGUCGGGUUGCAACUCCCGUCGACUAUGUGCGUUAGAAGUUGAUUUUUUUACAUUUUUUUUUUACCAAUUAUUAUUUUUAUUGUUUUUGUUGUGACAUGUGCCAUGUGGUACAUUUUUUAGUUUCGAUUUGAUUUAAAAUUCAAUAAAAUUUUCAAACAAAACUUUUACAAAAUUAAUAACUACAUUGAAAUGCCAGAGUUCAAUUUACAAAAUUAGAACAUUAGGUGUUGGUUGAUGCAUCACUUAAGUGAGACGUUGAGGUAAAACCGUUGGUUGAUGUGUCACUAAUUAAAUGAGGCGAUAUGGUAGGACCAUCAUUGAUGUAUUACUUAAGUGAGGCAUUGAGAUGAGCUAAUGAUCCUUAGGACGUUGCAUAUUGAAAAAACUUUAAUGCUUUGCUUAAUUGAGACGUUGCAGUCAACUAUCAUUUAUUAAGGAAAUAUGCAUUAAACUUAUAUAACUCUUGAGCUCAAUAUCUAUAUAAAUGUCUCCCCACUUCUCGUUCCCGAGACAUUGAAAAAAUUAUCUUUUACAAGUUCUCUCAAUCUUCUCUCUAUUUUUUUUGUUUUUCGAGCAAAAUAAAAGAGUGUUGGUAUUCCAAUCGAUUCUGGCUGUAUAGUUUUGAUUGAGUUUUGACUUUUCAUCUUGCAGUGUCGUGGCAUCAUGUGAAUUGUUUGUACUCCGAAUAGAGUCGUGAAAUGUCAUAAAGAAAUCAUGAUCAUGAUCUUUGACUCAAUCUUUCCCUUCACUAGUUUCUAUUUUGCAUGUUUUGAAUGCAUUUCAUAGUCGACAAACCAAACGACGAGGUCUAGAUGUUAAGUCCAGGUGACUACUUUACUAGACAUUCAUAUUAAUUAGUAGACGUCCGAAUCACAAAUAGUUCAAAUUCCAAUUUAGGCAUCGUAUGCAUUCGAAUUUAGAAGCCUAACUCUCUGUUUCUAACGAAUUAUCAUUGUCCAAUUCCAACGCACGUUGUUGUUGUCCAGAUUUGUUGCGUCGGUCUUUUUGCAUUAUUUCGUACAAUUAGUUCCAACAAAAACUAUUAAAAAUGUUCUUCUUUAUAAAAGCAUGCAACAACUUUAAUAUAUAUGUUUCUUAAAGUUUAAAAAAGAAAUGAAGGAUAUGAGUCGAAUUUUCAAACUUUGUAGAAAAAUAAUUGAUGUUUUUAUCAAUUUAAUUAUGUUUACAUUUAGGUGGUCUCCAAUAAUAUUUACUUUAUGAUACACAAUAACCUUCACUUUCCAAGUCUACAUUUGAAAAUAUAUAGAAGACAUCAAUUGUCAAUCCAUUUCUCCCCAUUUAAUAGUUAAAAAAAUACAAAACAAUUUAAAUAUAUUUAAUUGGAUUUUAUAUUAUAAAUUUUUGGAUAAUUGUCAUAAAUAAACAAAAGCAGUAAUUUUUUUUUGUUGGUUUGGUAGGAAGUGUAAAUAGUUUGUUUAUUUUUUAAUCUUUCAAUUCUUAUAUGUUGUUAAGUUUUAAAUAAUUAAUUAUAUUAUUAAUUACUUGCACCUUAAUAAUAUAACGCAAAUAAGAACUUAAUUCAAUUGACAUACUUAAGGAUAAAGAAGUCUCAAAUACAAAUACUCCUGUAUAGGAAUUGUACUAAAAUUGACAUGGACCCUAUUAUCAUAAUUUUUAUGUUAUUUUUGCAAAUGUCCCUUAUUUUUUUAUUGGGUGAAAUCCACCGUUUCAUUUAUUAUCCUUUUAAUACAGAUACUUUAUUUUUUCUUAUAGAACUUUUAUAGUGUUAAACGUCAUUCUUUAGUUCAACAAUAAUGCAUGACGUUGGAAAAUGUGAUUGUAUUUAUAAUUUUUUUAAAACGUAAUUUUUAGUUCAACACGUGUCGGUGAGAGUGAUUAAAACCUCUAACCUAGUAGUGAAAGAUAUACGAACCUUUACGCAAAUUCAAUAUCAUAAUUGGGUGGUUUAUAAGUUGAAGUAGGUUUUAUGGAGGGUUGAAUAACACAAAAAUAACCUUAAAAGAAAUAGUAUAAUGACAAUAAAUUUGGCCUCAUCCCCUCAUAAAAAGCUCAUUUUCAUUUUUCCUUCCAUAUUUGAGGCAACCAGGCAUGCGAGGCACGUGCCAUCUCCUACUUGUAUCAAACUCUCAUGUUUUCCCAUAUUAGGAAUCCUUCAAUGUAACAACAUUUAUAAUAUAUAGUUUCAAAUAAUAAAUCAAGAGAUACUUUUGUUCCCAUCAUUCUUCACGUACCUAAACUCGCCUUCAUGCCAUCCAUCUAAUGGCCAUUGUCCCUCUACAACCAAUGUUCACUCUCCACCUCAGUGAAAGACACAACAUUACUGUGUUCCGAAUACACCAGAUUGGUCAUCUCUAAGUGAAGUGGAUCCUAUUAAAUUGCUCCACGUGUAAACUAAAUUAGAAGCCAGAUCGUAGGGCUGUGAUUCAAUACAUUACCAUAUAGAGAGCCUUCAAAAAUGGUAUAUAUUAUCAACGGCCCGAUUUCCCAUAUUAGUUUUACCAGAACCAUACGUAAGCGUUUGUGAAAUGAAACUGAACCAUUCGAUCCUCUGUACAUGUGUACGGUUGGAUUACGAGAUCGUAAACAGAAAUCGUAAAACCGCGUUGUAGAGGAUCUUUGGCUAUAGUAAAAAAAUACCAAAGCUCAGUUUCUGUCGCUAUCCAGUAGUCCCUCCCAAGUCCCUUUCUCUUUCUUCUCAUAUCACCACCGAGAGAAACAUCGCUUGUUCCAAACCCACCGGCAAAUUUCUCCGGCGAAGGUCAGUUCAUUGACAAUCUCUCUUACUUUUUUUAAUUUCUAAGGUUUCCUCUCUCUCAUUGUUCCUUUCUUUGAUUUUGAUUCGUAUUCAAUUUCUUGUGCAUUUUUUUUUUUUUAAUUUGUGUGCUCGUGUGUUUCUGUCUGUUUGUUUUCGGAAUUUAGUUUGAUCGUGAUUACCUCUGAUCGGGAUUCGAUUUCUGCAUACGCUAUGAGUUUUGAUUUUUGGUUGUUUCUGUGCAGAUUGAUUUUGGAAAUCUUCUUUCAGGUUUGCGAUUUCGGUGGUUCUUUCUUAUGUUUUUCAUCGUUAACUUGAGUAGUGUUGUCGUCUAUAACUGACACUGGCCGUGGAGUUGGGGUCCAGUGUGUGUGAGGUGUGGAAGAAGUUGAACUUAUUGUGCGGAGGUACAGUUUCAGAGCUUGGAGAAGUGACUUUGAAAUUUUGGGGUUUUUGCUUUGGGGUUGUCACCGGAAAGAAUGGUAAGUUUGAAUUGGGAAUUUUGUUAUUCUUUCAUUUCUGCAUGUUGCUUUAUGCAAACUUAAUUCUUUUGGAAGUCUAAUUUUCAGUUUCAUAGGGGUUUGCUGGUACUGAUUUAUUACUAACAUUUUCUUUUUCUCAAAAUGUGAGGCUGUGAGCAUCCAAUUUUUUUAUUUACUGGACAUUAGUUAUUUUAUUAGAGAUUUUUUUUUUUUUUUUUUAUCUCUAGCUCAAGUGACUUAUUGCACAUUUACACUUGAUGAUUUUUCAAUUUUAAAAUGUUGCCCACUUAAGGGAGUACUUACUAGCUUCUACUUAGCUGCUAGGUUAAUAGUAUGUAAACACAUGUUUCCACUCGGAGUUAUUCUUCAGUUUUCACUAAACAAUUUACCUGUCUCAAGGUUUUAUCUUUUAUGGAGAUAGAUUUACGAGUUUCCAUGACUGCUCAAAACCAUGAUGGUAUUAUCAUGAUUCAUAACAUAUUUCAUAUGCUUUCUUAAGUUUUUGUUCUUUGACUCUGAAGCUCGCUCAAUGUAUAGAUGUGUAUGACUGUUACUUAAAUUGGUAGGGUAUUCUAGGAGGUUACAGUUUUCAUAUUCAAAGUUGAAUCUCUAAUAGCUGAGAAUGUUGGAGGUUUCUGUUUCUGGUUUGAUCUUUGAUCUAGUUAAAGCUUUUAGCUGGGUCAUCCAAUCCUUCAUAACUUUUGCAGCAGUUGAACAUGAAUUAACAAAAAAGUACAAAAAAUUCAGGAAGUAUUUAAAUAAUUUAUGGAUCUAACUCCCCUGCAUUGAAUUGAUUGUAUUAAAUUCCUCUUUUCUUUCCUUUUAAUCUGUGCUUGCUUACUUGGAGCUCCUUUGUGUAGGACAGUUUCCCUUUCUUUUCUUUGUAGGCUUGGUUUUUUGUAUGCCCAUGCUUGUAUUCUUUCAUUUUUUCUCAAUGAAGUUGUUGCUUUUAUCAAAAAAGAAAUCUGUGCUUUCUUAUGCUCGAAAUCAUUUUUGCUUCCAGUUCAAGUAUUUCUUUUGUUUUUUUUAAAUUCAAAUGUUGGUCCAUUUACCUCAAUAGAUGACCAGAAUUCCUCACCUAUUCACCCUGUGUCAAUCAUUGAGUAUGAGUUUUUUUUUUUAUGAAAACGAUAACUUUCCUUGAGAAAAAAAUGAAAAAAUACAAGGGCAUACAAAAAAACCAGCCCACCAAAACACCCUAAAAUCAGUAUGUUAUCUUCUCUGAAGGUAGAGUUCAAAAGUAUUUAGAUGAUGAUAUUAGUUAAAAGAAUCUUGACAGGGAUGUCAAUGAAGUAGUUCGAUAUGCAAGGGACACUAAACAGAUAUAGAGUGGGAUGCUUUAGUUGGGGUGCAUCUGGAAAUUAAACAUAUGUCAAUCAAGUAGUUUUAGUUGGGGUGCUUUUGUGGGCUUUUUUUUGUAUGCCUUAUAUUCUUUCAUCUUUUCUUAGUGUAAGUUGUUGCUCUUAAAAAAAGAAAAACAUAUAUAGAGUGGUAGGAAAAAGAGGACAAAGAGAGAGAAUAGGAGGUUUGACUUUUUGCCAAAAUAUAGUUUGAGGUUUAUUUGUGAACGUGAUAAAGUAAUUGUAAUUCUAAAGGCGAGACAGUUAAGUUGCAAGAGCUAUAUACUUGUCAAAUUUGUUUCAUGCCUACAAUCUAAAUUGUCACACACAAAUGACGUUUCACACUAGGUUAAGGCCUGACUUGCUAAAAGGAUCUUCAUUUGAUUACUUGUUCAAGUGUUGAAGCAUUAUGUGUAAAAUGUUUGAACUAGACAAGACUUUAAACUUGUGCAAAAUCACGUUGGAUUUUGUAACCAAACCUGAUAAGCUUGUAGAGUACCUUUAAAUUUAUAUUUGAUUAUUACUUUUAAACCCUGGUACUUAGGCUGCCUCCCAUUGUUAUUUUGAACAUGUAUCUCUCUGUUUCAUAUAAAAAUAUACUAGUAGAUUUUAGCUAGUACUUUAUUCAGAUAUCUAAUCCAGAGUUUUUAUUUGGUUCUGAUCAAAUCGACUUUAUAUAAUCAUCAAAUAGCUUGUUUUCAUUGUUCAUUUCUCUAUAUUCUGGAAUAUAGUCUAACAGAUAUAUGGAGGUUUAAAGCCUUUCUUUAAAACAUUUUCCCAUUAUCUGCUUCUUUCUGUAACGGUAAGAGGUUGAUGCCUAAGUUAACAACUGCUCCUCCCCUCCCCCCCCCCCCCCCCACACACACACACACCCCCCCCACAAAAAAAAAAAAAAAAAUACAAAUCAAUAGUUACUAUCCUAGUAGCUUAUGGAAAUUAAUGUGCCAUGCUAACUUUAACUUCUUUCUAGUAUUUGCCUUUUCCCUUAUUGUUUUGAAUGCAAAGUGGACUCGUAUAUUCUAAUACUGGAUUCUAACCAUAUUAUUUCUUGCUGAAGUUUUAUCUUUUGCACAUCUGUUUUUAAAUUCUCAUUGGGUUGUUUUGGGGUAAGUUUUUGUACUUUGAAGCACAUAUUUUCUGAUAUAUAGCAAGGCCUAAUAAGUAUUUGUUUUUUCUUUCUCUUUGGCAGUCUUUCCAGCAUAAAAGCUUUUGGAUACCUAGGGAUGCUGGAUGUUUAACUGAUGGAGAGAUGAACUAUGACAGCUCCUCCAGAAUUGAAACCAAACGUGGCCAUCAAUGGUUCAUGGAUGGCAGUGCACCAGAGCUAUUCAGUAGCAAGAAGCAAGCAAUUGAAGCUGUAAAUUCUAGACCUGUUCCUGGAGUUCCACACAUGAAUGUUUCUCCCUGGGAAAACUCAAGUUUUCAGUCAGUCCCUGGACACUUCACUGAUCGUCUUUUUGGCUCAGAGCCAAUACGAACUGUUAACUUGGUUGAUAGAGGCAUCUCUGUGGGAAAUGCAAAUAUGGACAUGGGAAGAAAGGAGUUUGAGAAUCAUUUUACAAACAACCCAUCUGUUGGCUUGUCCAUGUCUCAAUCCAUUGAGGAUCCCUCAUCAUGCCUCAAUUUUGGGGGAAUUAGAAAAGUUAAAGUCAAUCAAGUGAGGGAUCCUGACGUUGGCAUGCCUGCUUCUUUGGGGCAUGCCUAUACUAGGGGUGAUAAUUGUACAAUUUCGAUGGGUACAGGAUUUAAUAAAAACCAUGAGAACACCAUAUCAUUGGGCCAAACUUAUAAUAGUAGAGAUGAGAAUGCCAUUUCGGUUGGCCCUGCAUAUCACAAGACAGAUGACAAUUUUAUUUCAAUGGGUCAUGCUUUCAGCAAGGGUGAUGGGAGUUUUAUUACAAUUGGUCAUAACUAUAGCAAGGGAGACAAUAGCAUCUUAUCGAUGAAUCAGCCUUUUGACAAGGGGGAUGACUCUUUUAUUUCAAUGGGUCAAUCUUAUGAGAAGGCUGAAGGAAAUAUCAUCUCUUUUGCCUCCUACAAUAAAGGGCAAGAAAAUUUUAUAUCAAUGGGGCCAGCCUAUAGUAAGGCGGGUGAUACUUUCAUUUCAAUGGCUUCAUCUUUUAAUAAGGGGAAUGAUGACAACUUAUCCAUGGCUCCCACCUAUGACAAGGUGAACUCUGACAUUGUACAUGUUGGUCCUAAAUUUGACAAAGCAGAUUCUGGUGCUGUGUCAAUGGCUCACAACUAUCAUAAGGGUGAGAGUAAUACCAUAUCUUUUGGAGGUUUUGAUGACGAGAAUGGGACAGAUAAUCCCUCUGGUGGGAUCAUUAGCAGUUACGACUUGUUAAUGGCUAAUCAGGCUUCUGCCCAGGCAUCAGAAGUAUCAACCCUGAGAGACUCAGUUGAUCCCAAUGUGGAAGUAAACAUUAACGGUGCCAUAAAGGUUGAUGGAAAAAUUGACACAAAUUCCAAAAGUAAAGAGCCAAGGAUGAGUAAGAAGGUUCCACCAAAUAGCUUCCCUUCAAAUGUCAAAAGCUUGCUCUCCACUGGUAUGCUUGAUGGGGUUCCUGUGAAAUAUGUUUCUUGGUCACGGGAGGUAUAAUUUUUUAUUUUUGUUUUUGUCUAAAUAAUUUUCCCUUUAAUCUGAUAAUCUGGAGAAUGCUAUGAAACUAAUUAGUUUUUUGCCACGUUUAUGCUGGGAAGAAAAAUCUCAAGGGAAUUAUUAAAGGGACUGGAUACUUGUGCAGUUGUGAGAACUGCAAUCAUUCAAAGGUAACUUGCGAAAUUCAAGAUUCCUUCUUUCUCUUGGGGUAGUAAGGAACGUACAGCUCUAAUUAUAUGAUUACGGUUCCUAAGUGAGUUGCAUUGCACAGGCUCUCAAUGCUUAUGAAUUUGAGAGGCACGCUGGCUGCAAAACCAAACAUCCAAAUAACCAUAUUUACUUUGAGAAUGGGAAAACUAUCUAUGCUGUUGUUCAAGAGCUGAAGAACACCCCUCAGGAGAUGCUAUUUGAUGCAAUCCAGAAUGUGACUGGCUCUCCCAUUAAUCAGAAGAACUUCCGUAUUUGGAAAGGUAAUUCUUGUUGUUUUAGCCUUUAACAAUUUUUACAUGAGCACAUCAGUAUAAAUAUGAAGAAAUAUGGAAGUUAACUGUAGGAGAGAUUUGAAGAAAAAAAGGAAUGAAAGAAUGAGAGAGAGCUGCAGGGUGUUUCUCAUUUUGGCUGGUCAAAGAUGGGGGAGCCAAGAAGGUUUGUUGGGCUUUGAUGGAAUGGUUUUAUAAAACCACGCGAGUCAUUAUAGCACAAGAACAACCAUGAGCCAAACCCUCUUUAGUUUCAAACCUCUUCCUUUGUUAGUUUUGUCAUCUUCAAAUUGUGCUCAAUGCCUCAAUCUGAUAGGAAUGGUAUUUGGGUAUUGAUGGUAUAUAUUUGGGAUCCUCGUGAAGGAAAAGAUAGUAGUUUGGUAUCUUGUAGAUUUCACAUGUGCCUAUACACUCUUUAUAAGCUUACACACAGACGCACAUAUGAAAGUAGUGUUUAUAGGUUUAAUUUUUUAUCUUAUAAAAAAGUAAGCUUAAUUUUAGAAAACAAAAGAUAAAAUGGUGUAAUCAUUUGAGUCCGAGGGCUAUUUAUUUAUUUAUUUAUUUUUGAGGUGGAGCUCCCCUCACAAUAUGUAGAGAGCCACUUACUUUUUCAGGAAGAAAAUUAUCAGAAUCUAGUAGAACACCUAUUGUGUAUGUCUAUUUUUUAAAAAUAAAAUUUAUAGUAAGCAUUUAUAUUGAAGAUUCUCACUUUUUCUUUCAUUCCUACUCCACAGCAUCUUAUCAAGCUGCCACCCUCGAACUCCAGCGUAUUUAUGGAAAAGAUGAAGUAAUUAUGCCUUCUUGAGAUGGGGAUUUUCCUUUUUAAUUUUGAGGUAGGCUAUGUGUUGUCAUUCAUUUUUACUUUUAAUACAUGACGAAGCCCAUGUCUACAAAUAUAUGCUUUUCUGUUUAAUCUAGAUUAAGUUGAUAGAAUAUCGAGGGGAAGUUUUGGAUAACCAUAUACUUGUAAGUAGGUGGCUAAUGGCUUUGGAUUGUGCAAUUGGAUGCACGGUGCCAUUUCCUACCUCACCUUUAGUAACUAAGAUAGUGCUCCCAACUGUUUUAUUUUGCUCCCAAAAUUUUGAGUUGUAAAGAUUAAAGAAAGAUCAUGUGACAGCAUAGUGUAAAGUGUUGUUACAUUUACAACUUUAAGACAUGAAAUAGAAAAAUAGUGAUCAAAAUGUUUAGAAGCCAUCUCAUUGGUUCUUUUUCAGGAAUAUUCAUCUUUAUGUUUCUUAUUAAAAAAUGUUUCGAAGCAGAACUAACUACUGUACCAUCUUAGUUUUCCCAUCUCACUCUUUUACUAGUUUUAUCCUUAAGUUCACACAAUGUAGCUAGCUCUUUGUGACACAAAUAUAGACAAGGAAAAUUAGAACUCUCUUUGUGACACAAAUAUAGACAAGGAAAAUUCCAAGUAUUUUCAAUAACCUAGGAUAAAUGAGCAUGUAAGCGAAGCAUCUUGGGGACAUGGAGCGCAAAGGCUGGUGUGUAUGCUGGUGGUGUUCCAUCUCUGCAUGAGAUGUAUUUCUUAUUUGUUUUGUUUUGUUUACAUAUUACUUUAUUUGCUGAUACGUGUAUUAUACCACUUGUAGACCUCAAAGAUAUACCUACCAGGGUAUUUAAUCACAGGAUGGAUUUGUAAUCAAAACAUUGCCUAAGUGAGUAAAUUGUAAACCGGUAGUUGCAAUCAAAGAUGAUAUGGAUGAAUGGCGAUUGAUGAAGGUGCUAUUCGGUCAGGUCAACUACCUGCCGACUUUUGAAGACUUCAUUUUGAUCACAAGUGUGCAUUGCUCAGAAUGCCUUCUGCUUUUCCUUUCAUGUUACAUUUUGUUCUUUAUAUUAUAUCCCCCUCUUUAGCAGAAUUGUAUUUUGAAACAUUUUAGCUGCAAUAGAAUAGUAUGAAACAACCAUCUAGCUCUUUGAAGCUAAGAAAACUAGUGGCAAUGGGUUGGUUUUAAACAAAAACACAAACUAUUAUUAAUAUAGCCUUCAACAAAUGCAAAAGUUACAAAUACAUUUUGGUUGAAAUGAAAAUGCAGGGUACUUCAAAACACAUACACUUGCUACAUAUAUUAACAGAUACCAUUACAGGUGGAAUAGAAAAUCAUCAUUUUGUCUCUCUGGUAACAUCAAGCGAGAUGAAUUCUUGACUCGGUUGAACCGUCCUCUUCGAAGCCUCAUCUGUUUCAGUCAUUUGUUGCUUACCAUCAGAGUCUGAUUUAACUAAAAGCUUAUCUUUUCUUUUGCCCCACAAAACCAGGUACAACCCAGUGAUUAUGGUCACUGCUCCAACAAUCCUACAAAAGAGUUGAAAGCUUUAGCAAGGUUGUUUCUCAAUAGGCAACUGAAAAUGAUCUCUCUUGUAGAUCUAUUAAUUGCAUUGCCCUUUUCAGUCUUGUUAGGAAAUUUUGGGCCUUCCACUUACCUUCCCAACAACAUAAUCUCAGAUAAGAUGAAGGAGCUCAUGAUUGCAACAAAAAUCAUGGAUAGAGGAUUGAAUGCAGUGACAAAAACAGGCCCUUUUAUUUGCAUCACCAUUCCUUGAAUGUAGUAUGUUACCCCUGAACAAAUUACACCCUACAACAAACCAUAAAUGUUAUGUUAUUACUUUGUAAUCAUUCAACACAACAGCAAAAAUCUAUACUUACAGCAUAAACCACAGAUAGAAGCUGGCUAUCAAAGUGCAAAGCCCAAGCAGAAGGGUUCCCUCUCUCCAUGACCAAAGCCACCAAACAGCCUCCAACGGUUGCCACUAAACAUAUCAAUGCUGUAAGGGAUAGCUCGGCUGGGUACAAUUUCAAUGUAAUUGCCUAAUUCAAUCGACAUCAAGUUGAUUAGUUUCUGAUUAUUUUGAGUAGGCAAAAGUGAAACUUUUGUUUAUUUACCUGAAGAAUGAUGAAAGCUGACUGGCAAAUGCAGCCAAUAGUUAUCAUGAGGGAGCCCUUGAUUUGGUUGUGGUGAUUUAUUGAAGAAGAUGAAGAAGAAGAAGAAGAGGGGUGGUUGGGUUUUGUCCAUGGCAGAUUCAACAUGGGUCCUCUUAUGAAUGUCAUAAUCAUGGCUCCUCCUAUUGUUACUAUGGUUCCUACUAUUUUUGCUUGGCUUCCUCUUUUCCAAAUAUUCACUCUCUCGAGCCUGCCAUAUAUCAAUGUUCGUAUUGUUUCAUUGAAAUUCUUAUAAUUUAGAUUAUGUAUUCCUAUAUGCAACCAUUUGUGGAGGGUUAGCUUUCUCCCUUUACCCGAAAUUGUGUUAUGAAACAAUGAUGAGAAAAAAGUAUUAUGGGCGUAAAGUUCGAAUAACCCCACCCUCAUAAUUCAAUGGCUAUAUUUUCAAAAAGAAAAAAAGUGUUUGGUUUUUAUUUUCUGUUGGAGUUCAAAAGUUGGGAUAAAAAAAAAGAGGAAGAGAUUACACAUUGAUUGGAACUUUAUGAACUACCAGACAUUGGUACACAGCUGUGGGAUUUGAACCCACUCAACAAAGUGAUUCUCUUUAAAGUUAUAUAUUUCUUAUAUUGGAUUUUAAUUAUUAUGUGCAUAAUAAAAUUAAAAUUGACUGGAUCUUCUAUCCAAAUAAAAAAAGAAAAAAAACAUUCAAUUUAAUCAUAUUAAUUCUUUUUUUUUUAAAUCCAAUCAUAUUAUAGUCUGCUUCUCUUUUUUAAAAAUUCAAUCAUAACAUAGUUUUAUUUUUGGUUUUUGAAAACUAAGUUUGUAUUCACUAUUUCUUUAUCGUAUUUAAUAGAAAUUAAUGCAAAUCAUUAUAAAACGUAAAAGAGAAAAAAAGACUUAGUUUUCAAAAACAAAAACAAAAAGCAAAAUAGCCAAGGGCCGUUUAGUAACUAUUUUGUUUUUGUUUUUUAAAAUCAAAAGCUUUCUUUUUUUUCAUUUUCAGUUUUCCUUCCUAAUUUAAACAACAAGUUUCUUGUUCUAAAACAAAAAGAUGAAUUAGAACUCUAACACACCCAUUUUUAAAAAAUUAAAAAACAAAAAUGAAAGAAUUGCGAAGGCCAAAAUUUUCAAGCUUAAUUUAGAUUUGAUUCAUAAACUUUAUAAACUUCAGAUUUGAUCCUUCCAUAUUUUUGUUUGAGUACUUCCAAAGUUCACCAAUUAUUAAUUUAGCAUUUAGAUUAGAAUUAGAAUAUGUUUGAAAAACCCUAACACACGUAAGUGACACAAUAUGUCUUUAUUAAAACUUAAUAUAAAAAGUUAUCAACAGUCACCAAAUAUAGCACUUUUAAUACAAUAUAAUGUUAUGGGAGACAACAAAAAGGGUCCUUUGAAAAGUUAAUUAUUUCAUGUACAAAACAUUACAGAAAAAGAAAAAAAGAUCCAAACCAACAAAAGACUCAAAAACAUUUCAUAAAAUCGUCAAAUAGACACGUAAAGAAAUUAAAGCUCAACUUUUAAUGUCUGAUAAGGGUCGAAACUUCGAAUCCCCCACUACACGUAUUAAACUCGAAAAGAAAAGAAAAAAGGAAAAAUUCAAAGGGGUUGAUGAUUUCUUUUAGAUAAAUGAAAGUUUUGAAAGUGAAAGUACCUGCAAGCCCAAGCCAUGAGGAAAGCAAAAGCAGGAAGAACAUUGCACAUGGCAACUGCAAAGGUUGCUGUUGUGUACUUCAUACCAGUAAAGUAUAAGUUGAGAUCAAUCACUGGCCUAUAUCAUUCAUAAACAACGACGUCCAUACAAAGAUUAGAUUUAUCGUAAUUUAUCGUAAAACCCAGUUUAAAGACACCUUCUAAUCCAAAACUUCCAUGAAAGUAAUAAUAAUCUAGUCCAUGAACUUCAGUUUGUAAUGAUUUUCUGACCUCCAUACUUCCAAACUCAUAACAAUUGUAUCACUAAAACAUCAAUAAGUAAAACAAUAUAGUCCUUUUGUGUUUUAAGAUUUGUAAUAAUUUUCUCUAUUAAUAUUACUUAAUUAAAUUUCUCACACAUAUAGGUCCACAAAUGGAUUGAAAAUCAGAUUUAUUUGUAACCCAUGCAAAGUUGGUACCUUAUUUUGAUGAGAUUUUUUACACAAUAAUAGGAAAUAAAUUGUUCAGAUUUUAAAGUGUAUAUAUAGAGAUUAUAUAUUGUGAUUUGAUUAAAAUUAAUAUUAAAGUAAAUUGCUAUCCGCUAGUUUAGAAACUAAAUUAUUAUGUUUAUAGAAGUUUAGAUAAUAAAAGUGUUUUUUAACUGAUAAAAUAAAAAUAGGACGUAAUUUUUUUAAGAUAGCAAAGAUAAAUAUAUACCUUCGACGUGAAAGAAAGAGAAAUAAAAAUGGAUAUGUAGAAGAUGUUAAAGAGAAAAGAAUGUUAAAUAAAGAAAUGAAGUUUUAUUGGAUUGAAAUGAAGUGAAUGAAUGGUGGGGAUCAUACUCAAGAAGACCAAGCAUCACAAUCUUGAAGGCCAACGAAAUGGUCAUCUUCGUCCUCACUUUCCUGCGCCAUGCAAAAACUAAUUAUACCUCACACCCUUCUAUACAACACAUCAUAUAGGAAGUAUAUUAAUCUUAAUAAUAUCCAUUUCAUAACUAUUUAUUUAUUUAUUUUUCGUUUUAAAACUUAAGGUAGAAAACACCACUUCUUUCCUUUAUAAAUGGUUCGUUUUCGAUUUUCGAAAAUUUAAGAUACAAACACUAUCUGUAUCUCUCGGUUUCUAAGUUUUAAAAUAAAAAGAAGCAGCUAAUUUUCUUUUUUUUUUUUUUUUUAUAGAAAUUUUACUAAUUUUUUUAGUGUUUAUUUAGGAAAUGAUAAAACCAUUCUAAAUAUUUGGAUGAAAAACAAGCACAAAUUUUUAAAAACUAAAACUUUUAAAAAGAAAUAUUGAUUAUUGGAGUACCAUUAUUUUUGUUUUUGAAAUUUGGUCAGAAGUUAAGUAAAACUAAAUACGAAAAAUUAUUAAAUGAACAUAAAUUAUAUAUGAGUGUGUACCACUCAAAUAUUUCACUUAAAAGAUGUUAAAUUCAACCCACAAUCUUAAGAUUUUAAAUACAUUGUUUAAUAUCUAAUUAUUGAAACAACUCAAUUAGUAUAUAUUUUCUACCAAAUAAAUCAGUAUAAGUCAAAAUUUUACUUCAAUGAAGCAUAAAUAUUUUGUGAAAUGUUUUAUUUUUGAAAUAUUUUUCUAUUUUAAUUUUUUUUGAAUAAUUAAAUUGCCUUCUUAAUCUUCAAAUAUUGAUAGUUAAGUUAAUUAAGGGUGUUUGGUACAUUUUAGUCCCAAGUUUUUAAAAAUAGAUUUAAAAUACUCUAAAAGUAUUUUUUUGUUUGAUUUUUAAAGAAUAAUUAUAUGAUUUUAAAAUUGGAAAAAAAUAGUGUUAGAGACUGUAAUUUUUAGAAAUUAUUCUUCUAAUUAUAAAUGACAUGUAAUUAUAAUUUAAAAUAAAAGUAUAAAGUUAUUUGAGAGACGUUUUAAUCUAAUUUUUAAAAUUCAGGUACUAAAAGUUUUUGAAAAUUAGGGAUCUCAAACCAGUCAAUUUUUAUAAACAUGAGAAUUAACUUUUUUUUUUUUUUAACUCAGACACAAAAUACACAUAUUCUUCAAAAUUUUAAGCAUUAAAAAAAGAAACUUUUUCUAUAUUUUUCAUGAUACACAAUAACACCAAGCAACACUCUAGUUUUAUACAUGUAUGGAUACUAUGAUUAAACAAAAAUUCUGAGUAAUUAAACAACUAUGAUUAAAGAAGAGUUUAGUACAUAAAAAACUGUGAUCAAGCAACUGUGAUUGGAGUACACCAAAUAAGAUUUGUGGUGUACAUACCAAAAUAAACCUAAAUAUUUUUCAAAAACAAACUAUCAGACAUGGUUGGCAAUUAGUAGGUAAGUAUAGAGACAAAAGAGAAAGAAAGGGGUAAUAAAUGACCUUUCAAAGAUGAUGGCAAAAGGAGCCAUGAUAACAGUAGCAAUAAUCAUACGAUAAAACACAAAAACAUAUUGGCUCAUCCCUUUGUUCAAAGCAAACUUUGCAAUAAUCGCCAUUCCAGCUGAACCCAAUUGCAUAAAAAGAACUCCAAAAUAUGGCUUUGCCAAAACCAAAAACCUCCUAAGACCCUCCAUCUCUUUCCCUCUCCUUUGUGUGUCGUUUGUUCAAAGCCUUCAGCUUACUGAUAUGAAUAUAGAAUUACACACAGACACACAGACACACACAAUGCCUCAAAUUUUACAUGCUUUUUAUAAGCAAAGUUUUAAGGACUUCCACCACUCAAACCAAAAAGAGAGGAUGAGACAAGAAAAGGAUCAUAUCCAAACAAUUAUUAACAAAUAAAUUAAACAAAAAAAAAAAAAAAAAAAAACUUAUAGUGUCACAAGAGAAGAUGGUUUCCACAUGUGUAAAGUGAGAAGUGCCACCAAUUUUGCCUUUGUUUCAUUUUUAUGCUGACCAAGGAUAGGUAUCCAUUAUGAGUGCGCUGAAAUUGAAGUUUCAUCAACAAGAGGGUUUGUUUUUUAUAUUAUUCUUUUGUUAAAAGAUGGUCUUAAUAAGGUACUAAUUAUCUUUCUCUUUUCAAAGAUUAUAAUUAAGCUCUAGGCCGCCAUGACGUGGUUAUCUCGGAGGCAUUUUUGUGGUAAAAAGUAGUGUUGUUCAGUCGUUGUGGAAGUCUAUAACGUAAUGAUCAUAUAUAUUAAUUCAUGAGAUUGAUAUUUUUUAGUUGUAGACUUCACAAACUCUGUAAAUUAAACAGGAGUGAAGUUCACACUUCCUCUCUCCCAACUCCUACUUAGCUUCUUGUUAAUGUAUGCUUUUAAUAACAACCAGGACUAGGUGUAUAUUUGGAACAUCUCUAUAGUAUCCUUGUUAAUGUAAUUAGGGAUGCACAUUUUUAAAAUUCUCUUGCAUACAUUUAAGGGUGCAAAAUUAUAUUGACUACAUUGCGGUGGCCACAUUAUAGAAAUAAUCUCUCAUAAAUUUCAAACGAUAGAGAGCAUAUAAGUAGUAAAUGGAAAAUAGUUAAUAGUGAUAUGGUUUGUGGAAAAUGCAUGGUUUUCUUUUUCUUCUUCUUCCAUGGUUUGUAUUUUCCCCCCAUGUGUGUAGUGUGAAUAAAAUUUCAUACUACUUCCUUUAUGGUAAGUUUAUGAAGAAGAUGUAUUUGAGAAUGGUAUGACUUGGCGAGUACAUAAAAUAAAGAGUUUAUUUUAAAUAAACCAAAAUAAUCAUAAAAUAUAACCAAUUUUUUUAGUAAAUUGAUUGAUUUAUAAUUGAUAUAUUUUGAAAUUUUGUUAUAUAUAUAUAGUUUGUAUAUACUUUUUCUAAUAUAAAAUAUUAUAUAAUUUAACACGUCAAAUUUUAAAAUGGAAGUGGCAUGGGCUAGAUAAACUUCUCCCGGUAACUACUUGUUUUCUUUUAAUUUUUAAAAUUAGGAUUAUAAACAUGAUUUCCACAAAUAGAUUUUUUUUAAAAAAAGUACCUAAUCAUGUUUUGAAAAUUAAAAACGAUUAUUCUAGAAACGACAAUUUUUAAAUAUAGUAAAAUAAACUAAAAUAUUUACAAAUUAUAAUAAAAUUGUAGAUUCUAUUGAAUGAUAGAAACUGAUAAACUUCUCUAUCACAGUAAAUAUAGUAAAAUUUUUUAUUAAUUUUAUAAAUAUUUUGUCAAAUUUACCAUUUUUUACUAUUCCACUUGUAAAGAUUUACUUUUGUUUUUAAAUUUGACUACGAAUUAAAAUAAUGUUGCUCUACAAAAGAUGAAAACCAAGGCAAAAGAAUUUACGAGAUAACAAGGUAACAUUUUCAAAAACUAAAAGCAAAGAACAAAAAUGUGAACUUAGUUUUAGGCAACUGAGUUUUUUUUUUUUUUGUUGUUUUUAGUUAUGUCUAUACAGUUGAUUGGAAAUCUUAGAUUCAUGAACUUUUUUUCUUUUUAAUUCGAGAGUUUUUGUUUUGUUUGUUAAUGUUUGCUUUUGUUGGUUUGUGUUUAAUAAAUUGCCAACUUUUAUUGUAAAUUUAUUUGAUAGAAAAUUGGUAAAUACAAAGAUAUAUUAGCACAAUUUCUUAGGAUUUAAAGACUUCUUAGACCCAACUUAGGUUGAAAGAACUUAACUGUACAAUUUAAGUUUCUUUCAUAGAAAAAUAAUGGGAUGUUUCUUAAGAUUGGUUCCAAAGUUUGGGAUCUCAAAUUGAUUUUUUAAAAUUUCAAAAUGAACACUUUAGUUAUCGAGAUAUUUUAAAAAUAAUUGUACAUGGUCCUUGAGUUAAUUUGACCGUUUGUUUGACUAGUAUAAAACUGAUAUAGAAUGUGUGUUGACAAAGUUGAUGCACGGAGAUUAGUGUAAUCCCGAUUGCAUUUAAUUAUUACUCUAGGUAAUGUUUGAUCAAAUUUAAUAUAUUUUGGUCUCCUUACAUUUAUACACAUAUUUCAAUUUUAGUCCAUUCAAAACUCUAAUUUUUAGUUUAGGUAAAAAAAUUUACUCUAAUUUUAACUAUUUUGUUAUAGACUUUUUUUCAUAAACUUAAUUUAUAUAGACUCUGAAAAUGAAUUUACAUAUUACAUUUUUUACAUCAAAUUAUUUUAAAAUUGAAUAAACUUCGUAAUACAAGAUUGGAUAGUAUAUUUUAAGGAAAAUUGCAUUAUACGACAAAAAGAUUUAUAAAUUUUGCAAAUAUAACGGCAAUCAAAUGGUAAUUUAACGAUAAUCUGUUUUAAAAUUUUUAAAUUUUAUAAUUUUGAAAAUGUAAGUGACAUAGACUCUAUUAUCAUAAAUUUGUUUUGCUAUUUUUACAAAGACUCCAUAUUUUAACCUAUUGUUUUAAUUUGUUUCUUAGAUAUUUAUAAAAUCUUUCAAUAUUUCUUAGGUACGAUAAGAUGAUGAAAAAUAUACUUUCAACUUUAGGUUUGAGUUUGGUUUCAACUUAAGUCAGUUAAAUAUUUUUUAUAAGUGUUUAUAUGCAUAAUUUUGUUUAGUUUUUCGUAUAAAAAAAAUAAUUAUACUUAAUUCAAAUUAUCAUAAUUACCAUAACGGACUAUUAAAUAGUAUGAAUUAAUUUUAUAAUUAAGAAACAUGUGUAUUUUGAUUUUUUUAAGAAAAAAUAUAUUUUAAAACUAAUCACACCCAAUACUAUUUACUAAUUUUAGAAAUUUGAAAUUAUUGAAGUUAAAACUAGAACAUUAUUCUUUUGUAUUGAAAUUUUUUAGAACAAAAAAAUAUACUUAAAUUCAUAAGCAUACAAAUUAUAAUUGAUCUCUAACGACGAACCAAACAUAAUAGUAAUAUCUUUCUUCCAAGUAAUGUAAUAAUAAAAAAUGUGGAAGAGAAGGGUUGGAGGAGGAGGAGGAGGAGGGUUAGUAUGAGGGGUGUUUUAGGAAUUUUAACAUAACAUAAAAAAUUUCAUGAAUUUUCAGUCAAUCACUAAACUUAUUUUCUCAAAUUUUAAUUUUGUGCGUUUUUUAAAAUGAAUUAUUUUUUAAUCUUAUUUUUAAAAAUGCAUUUUCAAAAGUUACCUAUCUUCUUUCAUUUUUUUUUUAAAUUGAAAUAUUUUAAAAAGUAAUCCAAUCACACUUCAAAUUGAAUCAUUUGAUUAAUUUUGUGAUUGUUUAACAUGAGAAAUCAAAGAUGUUGAUUUGUUUGUUUUUCUUGUAAAAUUUUUUAAAAAUAAAAACACAGUGAAGAUUAAACUCAAGAUCCCAUGGUCCUUAGAUGCAUACAUGUGUCAUUUUAGUUAAGCUCUUGACUAUGGUUUUUUUGGGAGAUUAUUUGCUUAAUUAUAACGUAUAGUGAAAAAUAUUCCAAAAAAAAUCUAAAAUUUUGGUAUCGAUGUAAGAUUAUCGCUUUAUUCAUUUCUUUUGAUAAAGAAAAUCAAAUCAAACAAAAUAAAUCAAUAAUUUUUUUGAAAUGUUAUUGGCAAUAACAUAACGAUAAAAAUAUAUUUUUAAAAACAGAAACUUAUUUCGUACGUUAGUAUUUGUUCUACAAUAUCAGAUAAAAUAAAAAACCUAACAUUUUUGGAAUGUUAUUUGUAUCCAUUAUGUACGUAAUCCAAAUCCAAAAUUUUGGAAUAUUAUUUGUCGUAUCGAUAAAAUAAUUCAAAAACUCCAAUUUUUUUCUUUUUUUUUUGAAAAAUGGUUAAGUAAACAACAUCAAUCAAUAGUUAUAUUUAUAAGUGGGUUAAGUAAAAGCAAUCAAAACCAAUGUAAUUAACUUUCAUUAGGAUCUAUAUAAACGUAGCCUUAGUUUUAAACUUUUUGGAAGCUACACAUUUAGUUGGGAGUUGAAAAUAGUCAAUUUUUUUUAAGUUAUGACAUCAUUUUCCAUUAAUUAUUUUAAAAUAGAAAUGUUUUAAAAAAUAUAUUCUUUUUCUAACUCAUCCUUUUCCUCUUUUUCAAUCCUCCCAUUCAUUUGCUUUUCCUUUUCAUUUUUUUUUUUUUAUCUUUUCUCUUCUCGAAAAAGAACAAGAGAAAAAAGAGAAAAGAAAAGAAAAGAUGAAAAGAAGAAAGUAGAUUCUAUUUUUCUCUUUUGGUAUGAUUAUUUCACUACCGAAAACCAUCAUGUCAUUGAAACAUUGUUCUCAACCAAUCAAACACCAAUUUGUUUUCACUUUCAACAAUAGUAUGCCUUUUUCUCUAUACAUUUUGUAACCCAUUUUCUUUCUUUCUACAAACAAAUUAAACAAUAAACCAAACAAAUAGGAAGUUGGGCAACCUGAGUAAUAAAAUUGAGAAUUAUCGUAAAUGGCAUAACCGUUGAAAAUAUUUUUAAAAUUUUACAAUUUCUUGUCUAUGCAUUGUUGGACUAAAAGAAAUAUGUAAUAAAACUAAGAAUAGAACGUGAGAGCAAAAUAAAGACUAACUUGUUUAUAACUUUUAAUUUUUAGUUUUCAUGAUAUUAUUAGGACAAUUCAUAAAUCUUUUUAGUUUUUAUAGUUUACAUAGUAUUUAGCCAAAUUCAAACAUUUAAAUGUUAGAUAAUUAAUAUCUAUACCUAUAAAACAAAGAUGAGAUAUUUGCAUGUGAACGAAAAUAGGAUGAGCUAAAGUGUUUGUUUUGAUAUCUCAAUAACUAAAUAGACACAUAAACCUAAAACCUCAAGUAACAAAAGUGUAUUUUACCUCAAAAGUUUUUUAAAAACAUGCAUUAUUAUGUUUUUCAAUUUGGAGACCAAAAGUGUAAUUUACAAAUAUAUAGUAAAAUUUUAGAAAAAUUUAUUCAUGUCUAUCAUUGAUAUAUAGAUUCUAAAAUUUUACUAUAUUUUUUAAAAAAAUAUUAUGCUUUGGAAACAAAUCUUCUUAAAAAAACAAGUAUUAGACUUGAAUUUUUAGCCAAAUUUUAAAAUAAAAAACAAAAUUUUCUAACAAAUUUUAAACUUGAAUUUUUAGGCUUUGUAUCAGUUAUAGAUAUAAAAAAUGGUAGCAGUACAAUAAUAAAUAUUAGACCAAUCACAAAAUCAAAUUAACGACGAAAUUACAAAUAAUUAAAUUUAAGACUAAUUAAAAAAUGACAUCAAUUUCAAUUUGAAAUUGAAAACAUAAAUUGAGUUUUUAUUAUGAUAGUUGGAUCCAAUUAAUUAUUUUUUAAUUCAAUUAAAUAUUAUUAUUUGAAGUUGGAAAACAAAAAAGAAAAAAAAAAUACUUAAUUUAACCCAAACCCGGAAUAAUACUCAAAUUCAUGUUAAUUAUAAGAAAAUUUAUUUGCAUACUUAUAUUCAUUUAAGAAAUCACAAUUUUUCUCUAAUUCAAAAUUCAAGAAAUUGGUUUUUAUCAAUAACUCACAUUAACGUGUAAUAAUUUACAAUCUUUUUAAAAAAAUGUAUGUAUAUAUAGAUGUAUGGAAUAUAAUUUUUAUUUUCAUCAUAUAAAUUAAAUAAUUUAUAUUGUUCUUUAAUUUUAAAAUCUCGAUUAUUAUUGUUUUUUAAUCCUUUUUAGAUUUAUUUUUUAAAAAAAUUAAGUUAGUUUUCAACUUUUGUUUUAAUCUUCAAUAUAUCUAAAAUCUUAAGCUCAGAGAAAAUUUAAUAUGAUAUCAUCUAACGCUCUCCAUAUAUUAAAGCUCUAAUUAACAAGUGUAAAUGAAUAUUGAUCGAGGAGAAAACAAGGUAGUGCAAGAGCUUGAACACAUGACCUCUUUAAACUACCUACUCUUAUACUAUCUUAAAUCAUUGAUGGACUUAAAAGUCUGAGCUGAAUAAUGAAAGCAAAUUUAAUAUGAUAUGAUCAAAUAUUAAGCUUUACAUAAAACGUGUGUUGAUAUUGUACUAACAAACUAGUAAGUAGUUAAAGGUAGAAAUUAAACCUAUUAUUAUUGUAAAUGUAAAUUAAACCUAAGAUAGUUUGGACAGUUGUACUAUUAUUAUUUAUCAUAUAAAUAAUAAAUUUUAAUUUUUUUCUUUUUCUCGAUAUUUUAUACUCUCAUUUCUAAAAAGGAAUGUCUAAUAUAACAUUUUCAAAUAUAGGUAAGAGGCUUGUUCAAAAUUUGAAAAAUUGCGUGUUCACCUUGGUCUCUAGUCAUCUCACCUCCAUAAAACUCUUCAAACACUACUCUUUGUGCAUGUAUUUUUCAUUUGAUUAGUAAAUAAGACAGAGAUAUGACGAGAGUGUUAAGAAGGUGAUGUCAAUCAAGUUAGGAUAUCUCAAUAUAUCAACUCGUAUCUUUGUAUAAAAAAUAAUUAAUAAUUUUAUGAGUAAAAAUUGUAUUUCUUUUUUUUAUUUUGAAAUUUAAAAAAUAUAAAAGUUGUUUUUCUUUUUGAAUAAAUAUGAUGGGAAUCUGUUGCACAUGAUGUAUAGUUAUUCAAAGUUUGAAAGUACAUUAUUGAAAUUCAAACGUUGCCAUCAGUCUUGUUUUUUCUUUGAUUUAUUUAUUUUUAUUAAAAAAAAGUUUGAGCAUUUAUAUGGAACAAUCCAUGAUUGGUCUCACCAUAAUAAUUGAAAAAAUCCAAAAUUUCGAGUCAAAAAAAAUAUCCACUCAAAAGUAGAUACAAAAUUCAAUGACGAUGACCAUUACAAAAUAUAAUUUCGUUCAUGUUUAUUUAAAGAAUAUAACAGUAAAUUUAACACAUGCACUUACACACAUCAUCUUUGGAUUCUCUUCUCUCUUUGGUUUUUCUAUAUCACACAUUAUUAUUGUUUUCUUCAUACUAUUUUUUUCUUCUUCUUUUCGAUAAUAAAUCAAUUAUAUAUGCUUUGGAUAAUGUAUGAAAUUGGUUAAUAUGUUCAACAAAGGUUUAAUAUUUAAACACGCAAAGGCAACAUUUCAUCUUUUCAAAAGUUAGAAAUAGUAAGUAGAAUUAUUUAAUAAACUCUUUUAUGUGUGCAUGUGGCUUUUAAUCUAUUUAGUAAAAAGAAAUCAUCUCUGGGAUAUUUUUAUAAAACGAAAUGAUUUUGUAUUAUAUUAAUUUAUUAUUUGAAAUCAUACGCAUUAUGAAUUCAAAAUUAAAGAAUCAGAUAAAAACGAGACACACCCGGAAUACAAAAAUUAAAAGAAAAAUAUAAUGCAUACAUCACAUACUGUAAAUGUUCAUUUAAUUAUUUAAUCUAACAACAAAUGAAAUCCAAUCAUGAACUCCUUAAAACAAAAAUCAAUCAUGAACCUCUUUUUAAUUAAGUAUUUUAAAGAAAAUUGUAGCUUUUUCAAAAGCUAGUUUAUUAAUUUUAAAUAUAUAACUUUUGUUAUUAAAAAAUACAAAUUGCAACCAUGGCUAGUUAGUUGCAAUUAUACCCUCAAACUUUUAAUAAUGACAAUUGAAUUCCUAAACUUGUAAAUGUGUUAAAAUUGGACCAACAAACAAUAAAAUUAAAUUCUCAAACAUAAACAAUCAAUCCAAUUUAGAUAAUUAUAUAAAUUUAAGGGUCUAAUUUUAAAAUAUUGAAUAAAUUUGAAAGUUCAAUUUUUAAUUUUACAAGUAUAAUUGCAACUAUAGUGAUAGUUUUUCUUUUUUUAGUGUGUUCAAAGAAUUAUUACAUCAUUUCAUAUAUAAAUAAGUAUAAAUAUGUAUUGACAUGAUUGUUAGGGGAAAACGUGAUGAAUGGUUUAAAACUAAUACAUUUGUAUAAGUUAGGCAAUCUAAAAUGAAUGAAUAAUAGCUUGAGAAAUUAAUUAAUAAUUCAUUUAAUUAUAGAUUUAUUGAAUAUUUUUCCAAUAAUUAUUUUAAAUCGGAGGUUGGGAGAUUUGAACUAACAACUUUAAUUCGAACUGAUAAGUUUGUAGUCAAAACAGAUAGAUGUCAUAGAGUUUAUCUAAAUAUAAUCUCACUGUUGAAUAAGAAAUUUUGAGACCAAUCACAAGUUGCCACAUCAUUUAUUAAGUUAAUGAUGAAAAGUACAAAUAAUUAAAUUUGGGACUAAUUAAAAUUGACACAUGCCCCAAAUUAAAGAGUUAAAAUAAAUAAAUUGGUCAUUCUAAUAAUGCCACAUGUUUUCAUAUUAAUCGUUGGAUUAAGUUAAUCAUUUUAGUUCAAUUAAGCCAAAAAAAAAUAAGCUUAAUUGAGCCCAAAGACUAAAUAUAACCUAAGUCCAUAUGGUUGAGCCCAUGGGUCUGGUUUAUGGACCAACCAAGUUCAAACCCAUAAAGCCCACCAGUGAACUCUAUAAAUAGAGGAAUUCUCCUCAUUUGCAGGGGUUGGAAAAUUUUGACUCUAGAAGAUCUAGAGAGAAUUCUUCCAAGAGCUAGAAGACUCCCUAACUUCUGAAGUUGACCACCCUCGAAGAUUGAAGCUGCUUUGAAGAUACAAACUUUCUUCCAAGACUCCAACUUCAAGAACAUCACGUGCUCCGCUUCCUCAAAUCAAGCGUAAGCAUUCAACCAACUUGAAGAACAUCACGUGCUCCGCUUCUCCAAAUCAAGCGUAGACGUUCAACAAACUUCAAGAACAUCACGUGCUCCGCUUCUCCAAAUCAAGCGUAGACGUUCAACAAACUUCAAGAACAUCACGUGCUCCGCUUCUCCAAAUCAAGCGUAGACGUUCAACAAACUUCAAGAACAUCACGUGCUCCGCUUCUCCAAAUCAAGCGUAGACGUUCAACAAACUUCAAGAACAUCACGUGCUCCGCUUCCUCCAAAUCAAGCGUAGACAUACAGUUGAGAGAGAAUCAGAGGAUCAAAUUCUAGAGAUUGAACCGCAUCGCAUCAAAUCAACAAAAAUACAACAUCAACCCAAGUUCAAGUCCACGAAUUAAAUUUCUCCGGAAAUCUCGUGCGAACAAAUUGGCACGCCCAGUGGGACCAUCUCUACCUCUCAUCUCUCUCUCAUCAUCUAGAUCUACAAGCAAAUCAAUGGCAUCAAAGAAAGCUGCAUCCAAAUCUUCAGCUGCAAGCGACACCUACACGGGACCUAUCACCCGUAGUCGUUCCAAGGGGAUCAUCCAAGGGCAAGACCAAGGUUCCGCCAUCGCGCAGAGCAUCCUGAAGCAAUUGAUGGAAUCUCCUAAAGCUGGAAUUGUCAUCAAGGAAAAUCCUCUAUAUAAUGAUUAUGAUUCUGCCUCUAGCAGGUCACUGAAAGAAGCACACCCAGAUGUGAUGUCCGUCAUGAUGGCUGAUGUAGCAGUCGAGACUGCCAUGGCGGAGAUGGAGAGAAAAAUUAAUCUCCUGAUGAAGGUUGUUGAUGAACGAGACCACGAAAUUGCAGCUUUAAAGGAGCAGAUGCAGACUCGUGAAACUGCUGAAUCGAGUCAAACUCCUGUCGUUAAAGUUGAUGACAAAGGGAAGAACGUGGUACAAGAAAAUCAGCCACAACAACAAUCAACUUCUGUGGCUUCUCUCUCGGUUCAACAAUUACAAGAUAUGAUCACAAGCUCCAUCAGAGCACAAUAUGGAGGCCCAUCUCAGACUUCUUUCAUGUACUCUAAACCAUACACCAAAAGAAUCGACAACUUGAGAAUGCCGCUUGGAUAUCAGCCUCCAAAAUUCCAGCAGUUUGACGGAAAGGGCAAUCCAAAACAGCACGUUGCUCACUUCGUCGAAACAUGUGAGAAUGCAGGAUCAAGAGGAGAUCAACUAGUCAGACAAUUUGUUCGAAGCUUGAAAGGAAAUGCUUUUGAAUGGUAUACUGAUCUGGAGCCAGAAAGCAUUGAGAGUUGGGAACAACUAGAAAAGGAGUUUCUCAAUCGCUUCUACAGCACCAGGCGUACUGUAAGCAUGAUGGAGCUUACAAAUACGAAACAAAGAAAGGGAGAACCAGUCAUCGACUACAUCAAUAGAUGGAGAGCUCUAAGUCUUGACUGUAAAGAUCGGCUCACCGAACUGUCGGCUGUAGAAAUGUGCACCCAAGGCAUGCACUGGGGACUCCUCUACAUUUUGCAGGGAAUAAAGCCCCGCACAUUUGAAGAACUGGCAACUCGAGCUCAUGAUAUGGAGUUGAGCAUCGCCAGUAGAGGAACUAAAGAUUUUCUUGUUCCUGAAGUAAAGAAAGAUAAGAAAGAGAUGAAAGGUGCUGAAAAGAUAGUGAAAAGCACCUUGAAAGAAUCUAUGGUCGUAAACACAACCCCGCUGAAAUUCUCCAAAGGAAAGGAAGCGAGGGUUGAAAAGAAGGAUGAUGGAAGCGAAAGGCGACGUCUGACUUUAAAAGAAAGGCAGGAAAAAGUUUACCCAUUUCCUGAUUCAGAUAUCGCUGACAUGCUAGAGCAACUACUAGAGAAGCAGCUGAUCCAGCUGCCAGAAUGUAAACGACCUGAGCAAGCAGGAAAGGUAGAUGAUCCCAAUUACUGCAAGUAUCAUCGGGUCAUCAGUCAUCCAGUAGAGAAAUGCUUCGUGCUGAAGGAGCUAAUUCUAAGGUUGGCUCGUGAGAAAAGGAUUGAGCUAGAUUUGGAGGAAGUAGCUCAAACAAACCACGCUGAAGUGACGAUAAUGUCUGAGGCUUCUUCGUCGAGAUUGAUUUUUGAGCAAAGGAAAAGCUUGGUCCAGUUCGGGACCUUUGAGCCUAUAGUUGUCCAAUUCUUUCAGGAAAUCUCAUACGAGGAUCCUCAAGGAGAGAAAAGACCAAUUGAAGAAGACGAUGAAGGGUGGAUAGUGGUGACCCACCGAAAGAAAAGACAGUCGAUCCCGACCCAAAGAGAGUCUCGCUCUUACCAAAACUAUAGAAGAGGAAAUAAGACUCAAAAGAAUAAGAAAAAGAAGAAGACUCAUAAGCUUAAGCUCGUACAUAAUGAAGACAUGAAUUUCUCUCGACCUCAACGCUUAGUGACCUUGGCAGACUUCCUUCCAAAAAGCUUCCUUUGUGAUCAUCAGGAUGAAGACCCAGAAGUCGUUGCGUGUCAUGCUAUCAACACAACGGAGGAAGAAAUAAUCCCUCCAAGAUCACUAGAAGGAGAGGGAGUAUCAAAAGACCUUUCAAGGUUUAAUGUAGAGGAUCUAUUAUCACUUCCUCAAGAGACCAAAACCAUCCUUAUUGAUGCAUUGCUAAAUUCAAGAGCAUCAAGUUCGAGUACUCCGACUAUGACAUAUGAGAGUGGUUCUUAUUGUAUGUCUAUAGACUUCUCAGAUGAGGAUUUGUUGUUGGGAUCUAAACUUCAUAAUAGACCUUUGUAUGUUUCUGGAUACGUUCGAGAACAGAGAGUCGAUCGAAUCCUCAUUGAUAAUGGCUCAGCUGUCAACAUAAUGCCAAAGUCGACUAUGUGGCAAUUAGGCAUCUUGAUGGACGAGCUCUCAAAUAGCAAGCUAGUAAUUCAAGGUUUUAACCAAGGUAGCCAAAGAGCAAUAGGCAUGAUACGGUUAGAACUCAUAAUUGGCGACCUAAAGGCCAGUGCAUUGUUUCAUGUCAUAGACUCAAGGACUACUUACAAGUUGUUACUAGGGCGUCCUUGGAUUCAUGGAAACGGAGUAGUAACUUCAACACUGCAUCAGUGCUUCAAAUUUUAUCAGGACGGUGUAAAGAAGGUUGAAGCCGACUCUAAUCCAUUCUCAGAAGCUGAGUCUCACUUCGCAGAUGCAAAGUUUUAUUCAAAGAAUAAUAAUAUUUUAGAAGUUUUGCCUGCAGAAACCCCUCUUACAAAAGGAGAAGAUAAUUCACAAUUGAAAUCACUCGCAACCACAGAACCACAUGAAAGUGCGAGAACCUUUAACUCUGGAAAGGGUGAAGCAUACACUAGCAACACAAAGGGUAUGAUCUUGAAGGAUGAAAAUGCUGCAAACACACCAGUUUUGCGUUAUGUCCCUCUGUCAAGGCGCAAGAAAGGCGAAUCACCAUUCAUGGAGUCUCCAAAAGGUUUGAAAGUUGGUGACAUCGAAAUCAUAAAAGAAAGCUUCACUACACCACUAACUAAGAUAGCGAAGCAAGAGGUAAAGGUAGAUCUGGUGGAAGCAAACUUGCCCCAAAGGCGAACGAAAGACGGAUUCGACCCCAAGGCUUACAAAUUGAUGGCGAAAGCAGGUUAUGACUUCACAGCUCACACCGAGUUUAAAAGCUUGGAAAUUCAUGACCGACCUGAGCUCUCCUCAACUCAAAAGAAGCUUCUACGGGAAGGACAUUCUAUACCCGUGUCGAGAAAAGGACUCGGAUACAAGUCGCCAGAACCGAUCCGUAUAACUAAAAAGGGGAAGGAAAAAGUGGUUGACAUCAAUCAUAUAACUAUAGAGGAGGAUGACAAUACUGACGUAAAAGAAGGUGAUAAUCAGAGAAUCUCAGUAUUUGAUCGAAUUAGACCAUCUGUUGCACGUCCCGUAGUAUUUGAAAGGCUAAGCAUGACAGAGGCAGAAAGAGAAAGGCUCCAGUCAGUACCAAACCUUGAGAGACAUUCGGUCUUUCGAAGGCUAACUACGACUCCCAUAAAGGAAGAAAGCACAUGCCAUGCCUUGACAACUACAAGACCAUCAGCCUUUGAAAGGCUAGGUGUGUCUAAAAAGAAAAAUGUACAAGCACCCCGUGCUCCGAUUUUUAAUCAUCUCGGGGAUAAAGGAUCACACGACAACAUUGAUUCCAACAUAGAUACAAAGAAGAAGGAACCAAUGUCUCGUGUGAAAGUUUGGCGUCGAAUUAAGCAUACAGAUGUCGAUAAUUAUCGUAGUAAGAAGUUUCCUUGCGAGACAAAGGAAAAUGGAGAAAUUCAUAGCAACGUUCCUUCUCGCAUGAAAAGAAAAACUUUUGUUACUCUCAAUACAAGUCAAGGUUCGUUAAAGGUAAAAAGACAUGAUGUUAUACUAACGAAUCCUGAAAAAGAAGGGUCGGAACAAGGGGAAUGUGAAACUUCAUGUCAUCACAUCACCAUUAUUGAGGAAUCAGAGACUGGAACUCAUGAAGAAGACGCAGAAAAUGCCCCACAAAGUUUAGAGGAUGGUGGCCAAUCUACUGUAGACGAGCUAAAAGAGGUGAACCUUGGUACAAUAGAGGAACCACGUCCGACUUUCAUUAGUGCGUCCCUCUCUAAUGAAGAGGUGGAUAAAUAUAUGAGUUUGCUCACCGAAUACAGGGACAUCUUUGCGUGGUCGUACAAGGAGAUGCCAGGACUUGACCCAAAAGUAGCAGUCCAUCAUCUUGCAAUUAAACCUGGAUAUCGACCGAUUAAACAAGCACAACGACGUUUUCGACCGGAGCUUAUCCCUCAAAUCGAGGUGGAAGUCAACAAGUUGAUCGAAGCAGGAUUCAUUCGCGAGGUCAAAUAUCCAACGUGGAUAGCAAACAUUGUCCCUGUUAGAAAAAAAAAUGGACAACUUCGCGUUUGUGUAGACUUUCGCGAUCUGAAUAAUGCAUGCCCUAAAGAUGAUUUUCCCUUGCCCAUCACCGAAAUCAUGGUUGAUGCAACUACUGGACACGAGGCGUUGUCGUUUAUGGAUGGGUCGUCUGGAUAUAAUCAAAUACGGAUGGCCCUCUCAGAUGAAGAAAUGACAGCUUUCAGAACUCCAAAGGGAAUAUACUGUUACAAGGUGAUGCCCUUUGGAUUGAAAAAUGCCGGCGCUACUUAUCAACGUGCCAUGCAGAAAGUGUUUGAUGAUAUGUUGCACAGGUAUGUUGAAUGUUAUGUUGAUGAUCUUGUAGUCAAAACAAAGAGACGACAAGACCAUUUGAAGGAUCUAAAAGUCGUGUUUGAUCGCUUGCGAAAAUAUCAGCUAAGGAUGAACCCUCUCAAGUGUGCGUUUGGUGUAACUUCAGGAAAAUUUCUUGGCUUCAUUGUAAGGCAUCGAGGGAUCGAAAUAGACCAGUCCAAGAUUGAUGCCAUUCAGAAGAUGUCAAGACCUAAAAGUUUGCAUGACCUAAGAAGUCUCCAAGGACGACUGGCUUACAUCCGAAGGUUCAUCUCUAACUUGGCCGGUCGGUGUCAACCUUUUCAAAAGUUGAUGAGAAAAGGAGAAAAUUUUGUGUGGGAUGAAGCUUGUCAGAACGCUUUUGAUAGCAUAAAGAAAUACUUGCUUACUCCCCCAGUGCUGGGAGCUCCAGUACCUGACAAACCACUAAUAUUGUACAUUGCUGCACAAGAAAGGUCCUUAGGAGCAUUACUGGCACAAGAAGAGGUAAAGGGAAAGGAGCGUUCUCUCUACUAUCUAAGCAGAACAUUAAUUGGGGCUGAAGUUAACUAUUCUCCUAUCGAAAAGAUGUGUCUUGCACUUUUCUUUGCCAUUGAUAAGUUGAGGCAUUAUAUGCAGGCCUUCACGGUUCAUCUAGUGGCAAAAGCAGACCCUAUAAAGUAUGUUCUAUCCAGGCCAAUCAUCGCUGGACGCUUAGCCAAAUGGGCGGUUCUACUCCAACAAUAUGACAUUGUCUAUAUUCCCCAAAAGGCGAUAAAAGGACAAGCGCUAGCAGACUUUUUAGCAGACCACCCAAUUCCUUCGGAUUGGAAGUUAUGUGAUGACCUACCAGACGAUGAGGUUUUCUUCACAGAAGUUAUGGAACCUUGGACUAUGUACUUCGAUGGUGCAGCUCGAAGAAGUGGUGCGGGGGCAGGCAUUGUCCUCAUUUCUCCUGAGAAGCAUAUGUUGCCUUAUAGCUUUGCACUUUCCGAAUUGUGUUCAAACAAUGUGGCUGAAUAUCAGGCUUUGAUAAUUGGCCUUCAAAUAGCAUUAGAAAUCGGAGUGUCAUUCAUAGAGGUCUAUGGUGAUUCAAAAUUGAUAAUCAAUCAACUCUCGCUUCAAUAUGACGUGAAACAUGAAGACUUGAAGCCAUAUUUUGCUUAUGCUCGACAAUUGAUGGAAAAGUUUGAUAAUGUGAUGUUAGAACAUGUCCCUAGAGUAGAAAAUAAGAGAGCGGAUGCAUUGGCAAAUUUAGCCACGGCCUUGACCAUGCCAGAUGAUGUAACUCUGAACAUACCACUUUGUCAACGAUGGAUUAUACCCCCAGUUAGGCCUGAAUGUCAGGAAGUGAACAUGGCAACAUCCUAUUUGAUUGAUGAAGAAGAUUGGCGUCAACCCAUCAUAGAGUAUCUUGAACAUGGAAAGCUUCCAAAGGAUUCUCGUCAUAAAAUUGAGAUACGAAGAAGGGCAGCACACUUCAUUUAUUACAAGGGAACUUUAUAUCGCCGUUCUCUUGAAGGGCUCUUCCUUCGAUGUCUCGGAAAGGAAGAUUCGGUAAAAGCUCUAAAGGAAGUACAUGCAGGUGUUUGUGGAGCACAUCAAUCGGGACCAAAGCUUCAAUUCCAGCUAAGAAGAAUGGGCUACUACUGGCCUAAGAUGAUCCAAGAUUCAAUAGACUAUGUGAAGAAGUGUGAGCCUUGUCAAUACCAUGCAAACUUCAUACACCAACCUCCAGAACCUCUUCAUCCAACUGUGGCUUCUUGGCCUUUUGAGGCUUGGGGACUCGAUCUGGUUGGCCCCAUUACACCAAAAUCAUCAGCAGGACAUUCUUAUAUCCUAGCAGCAACAGACUAUUUUUCAAGGUGGGCUGAGGCCAUUUCCUUGAGAGAAGCCAAGAAGGAGAACGUGGCAGACUUUAUUCGAACACACAUCAUCUAUCGAUACGGUAUUCCACAUCGAAUCGUGACGGAUAAUGGAAAGCAAUUCUCCAAUAGUAUGAUGGACAAGUUAUGUGAAAAAUUCAAAUUCAAGCAAUAUAAGUCAUCCAUGUACAACGCAGCUGCGAAUGGACUAGCAGAAGCAUUCAACAAAACAUUGUGUAAUCUUUUAAAGAAAAUUGUCUCCAAGUCAAAGAGGGAUUGGCAAGAAAAGAUCGGCGAGGCAUUAUGGGCUUAUCGAACGACUCAUCGCACCCCUACAGGGGUUACACCAUAUUCGCUUGUUUACGGUGUGGAGGCUGUCCUUCCUCUCGAAAGGGAAAUUCCGUCACUAAGAAUGGCAGUACAAGAGGGAUUGACUACCGAAGAUAAUGUGAAGUUACGUCUUCAAGAAUUAGAAGCACUUGACGAAAAGCGAUUAGAGGCUCAGCAAGCAUUGGAAUGUUAUCAAGCGAGAAUGUCCAAAGCUUUUGAUAAACACGUUAAACCUCGCUCCUUUCAAGUCGGUGAUCUAGUACUUGCCGUAAGGAGACCGAUCAUCACAACAAGGCAUACAGGAAAUAAGUUCACACCUAAAUGGGAUGGACCUUACAUUGUUAAAGAAGUUUAUACAAAUGGCGCAUACAAGAUCGUUGAUCAAGACGGACUACGAAUUGGCCCAAUCAAUGGUAAAUUUCUUAAAAAAUUUUAUGCUUAAUUUUGUUAGGUAAAAAAAAAAAAAUUGAACUACGUUAUGACUUGAUCCCUAUGUUAUAAAGGGUACGUAGGCAGCUUAAGGAAAACCUUAAGCCCAGUCCAGCAAAAAAAAAGUUGAACUACGUUAUGACUUGAUCCCUAUAUUAUAAAGGGUACGUAGGCAGCUUAAGGAAAACCUUAAGCCCAGUCCAGCAAAAAAAAAAUUGAACUACGUUAUGACGUGAUCCCUAUAUUAUAAAGGGUACGUAGGCAGCUUAAGGAAAACCUUAAGCCCAGUCCAGCAAAAAAAGUUGAACUACGUUAUGACUUGAUCCCUACAUUAUAAAGGGUACGUAGGCAACUUAAAGAAAACUUUAAGUUCAGUCCACCAUUAUAAAAAAAAAAAAAAAAACCUUGAACUACGUCGUGAGUUAAUUCUUUUCUUCAAAGGGUGUUCAUCUCCACUAAGAAAUCAUAACAAAUUGGGGGCAAAUCCCUAAAUUCAAGAUGUUCAUCUUUAGUAACAAUGAGAUGAAAUAAAUUGAAGAUGUACAAACUCCGUGCAAAGACUAUGUACAAGUUGAGUGCAUGUAAAAAGAAAAAAAAAAGAGAAUCUCAAAAUCAAGCUCAAAGGCAUCAUUAAUGAUCCCUCAAAUUCAAGCAUAAAAGUUUCAUUGAUGAUUCCUUAUAUUCAAGUUUGAAGGCUUCAUCGAUGCUGCAGCUCCAGCUCUUUGAGAGGAUAACGAUGGUACAACUUUGAUAGGACGACGAUCGGGCAGCUCUGCCUUCGCCUCUCCAAGAUGAAAACGACAGUGUAACAUCGUUUCUGCCUCUUGAAGAAGAUGCAUGCAAUGCUAAAGCUUUAACCUCUGCUUCAUCUUCAGCUUAUUGCAACCGAAGAGGAUUCAUCUUCAUCUUCUUCUAAGUUUUGCAAUCGAAGAUUAUUCAUCUUCAUCUGCUCUAAGGUGUCGCAAGUGAGAGGAUUCAUCUUUGUCUUCCUCCAUGUGUUACAACCGAGAUGAUUCAUCUUCAUCUUCACCUAGGAGUCGCAAUCAAGAAGAUUCAUUUUCAUCUUCUCUCAGGUGUAACAACCGAAGAUGAUUCAUCUUCAUCUGCUCUAAGGUGUCGCAAGUGAGAGGAUUCAUCUUUGUCUUCUCCUAUGUGUUGCAACCGAGAGGAUUCAUCUUCAUCUUCUCCUAAGAAUUGCAACUGAGAAGAUUCACCUUCAUCUUCUUUCAGGUGUCGCAACCAAAGAAGAUUCAUCUUUAUCUUCUUCUAGGUGCUGCAACCAAAGAGGAUUCAUCUUCAUCUUCUUUCAUAUGACGUAGCCGGAAGGAUUCACCUUCAUCUUCUUCUAGGUGCUACAACCGAGAGGAUUCAUCUUCAUCUUCUCAUUGGAAUUGCAACUGAGAAGAUUCAUCUUCAUCUUCUCCUAAGAGUCGCAACCGAGAAGAUUCACCUUCAUCUUCUUUCAGGUGUCGCAACCAAAGAAGAUUCAUCUUCAUCUUCUUUUAGGAGUUGCAACCAAAGAGAAUUCAUCUUCAUCUUCUUUCAUAUGUCGUAGCCGGAAGGAUUCACCUUCAUCUUCUUCUAGGUGCUACAAUCAAAGAUGAUUCAUCUUCAUCUUCUCUUAUAUGUCAUAGCUGAGAAGAUUCAUCUUCAUCUUCUCCCAGGUGCUGCAAUCGAAAAUGAUUCAUCUUCUCUCAUAUGUCAUAGCCGAGAGGAUUCAUCUUCAUCUUCUCCCAUAUGUCAUAGCCGAGAGGAUUUAUCUUCAUCUUCUCCCAGGUGCUGCAAUUGAAUAGGAUUCAUCUUCAUCUCCUCCCAUAUGUCAUAGUCGAGAGGAUUCAUCUCCUUUCAUAUGUCAUAGCCGAGAGGAUUCAUCUUCAUCUUCUCUCAUAUGUCAUAGCUGAGAGGAUUCAUCUUCAUCUUCUUCCAAGUGCUGCAACUGAAGAGAAUUCAUCUUCAUCUCCUCCCAUAUGUCAUAGCCGAGAGGAUUCAUCUUCAUCUUCUCCUAUAUGUCGUAGCUGAGAGUAUUCAUCUUUAUCAUCUAACAGGUGUCGCAACCCGGCCGAUGGAAUUCAUUUUCAUCAGCUCUAAGGUGUCGCAAGCUAGAUGAUUCAUCUUCAUCUUCUCCCUAGUACCACAACCAAGAAAGAAAGAAAAAAAAAAGGAGAAGCAAGAAGAAGAAAGAAGAAAAUGAUGAAGAAGAAAGAAGGAAGAAGAAAGAAAAAAAAAAACAAAAAGAAAGAAGAAAAGAAAAAAAAAAAACAAAAACAAAAAGAAAGAAAAACAAAAAAAAAAAAAAGAAAGAAGAAGAAGAAGAAAACAAAAAAGAAAGAAGCAAAAGAAGAAAAAACAAAAAGAAAGAAGAAUAAGAAGAAGAAGAAAAAAAAACGAAGAAGCUCAAUUGGUGAUAACGAAGAUCGAAGCCCGACGAUGACAGAGUCGAUCUCUCCUACUAGGGCGAUAGAUCUGACGGCAAAAGCCCGAUCGUCCCUAGAAGAAGCUCAACAAAGUCAUUUCUGCAAACGAAGAUCGAAGCCCGACGAUGACAGAGUCAAUCUCUCCUACUAGGGCGAUAGAUCUGACGGCAAAAGCCCGAUCGUCCCUAGAAGAAGCUCAACAAAGUCAUUUAUGCAAACGAAGAUUGAAGCCCGACGAUGACAGAGUCGAUCUCUCCUACUAGGGCGAUAGAUCUGACGGCAAAAGCCCGAUCGUCCCUAGAAGAAGCUCAACAAAGUCAUUUCUGCAAACGAAGAUUGAAGCCCGACGAUGACAGAGUCGAUCUCUCCUACUAGGGCGAUAGAUCUGACGGCAAAAGCCCGAUCGUCCCUAGAAGAAGCUCAACAAAGUCAUUUCUGCAAACGAAGAUCGAAGCCCGACGAUGACAGAGUCGAUCUCUCCUACUAGGGCGAUAGAUCUGACGGCAAAAGCCCGAUCGUCCCUAGAAGAAGCUCAACAAAGUCAUUUCUGCAAACGAAGAUUGAAGCCCGACGAUGACAGAGUCGAUCUCUCCAACUAGGGCGAUAGAUCUGACGGCAAAAGCCCGAUCGUCCCUAGAAGAAGCUCAACAAAGUCAUUUCUGCAAACGAAGAUCGAAGCCCGACGAUGACAGAGUCGAUCUCUCCUACUAGGGCGAUAGAUCUGACGGCAGAAGCCCGAUCGUCCCUAGAAGAAGCUCGACAAAGUCAUUCCUGCAAAAAAAAAAAAAAAAACAAAAACAAAAACAAAAACACAAAAAAAAAAAAAAACAAACAAAAAACAAAACAAAACAGAAAAAAAAAAAAAACACACACACACACACAAAAAAAAAAAAGAAGAGAAAAAAAAAGAGAAAGGGAGAAGAAAAGUUUUCUAUACCUUUCUGCCGAUUUGAUGAGGAAUAAGCGUUGGAUGAGGUAUAAGUGAGUAGGGUAUGAGUCUAUUUAUAA